GGCGCUUAAGGUUUGUCAAGAAGUGUUGGAUUUAUCGAUUGAUGACUUGCAAUUGUCGUUUGAUAAGAUGGGGGAAUACGAUAUGAGUAAGAUCGAUGAUUACUUACUGAACCUGAGAGUGUGGUUAAGCGGUGCCUUAACUACCCAACAAACAUGUGUAGACACAUUCGCGGAGGUAAGUAAUGAACAAGCGGAGAAGAUGAAAUUAGUGCUGAAGACUUCCAUGGAGCUUACCGCUAAUGCUUUAACCAUGGUCACUAAGUUAUCCACCGUCCUGAAAGACCUUAACAUUCCAGGCCUCGAAGGCAUCGACACGACUGGGUUUGAACGUAAGCUCUUGUCUAAUGAUGGACCUGAGUGGAUGGGCCAUGCUGAGAGGAAACUACUUCAGGCACCAAUUAUUAAGCCUGAUGUUGUGGUUGCUAAGGAUGGUAGUGGGAAAUAUGACACCAUCACCAAGGCCUUGGAAGAAGUCCCUAAGAAAAGUCCCAAUCGAUUUGUUAUUCACAUUAAGGCUGGUAUUUACAAGGAAAAAAUCAAUGUGACCAAGCAAAUGACUAAUGUUAUGUUCAUCGGUGAUGGCCCAACCAAGACCAUUAUCACCAAUGACUUUAACUGCAUUAAGAAUCAUCCGCUUAAAACAUUUCAAACUGCAACUGUUGGUAAGUAGUAUUAUGUACAUAUAAGUUUGGUGGUGACAUGAGGUGACUAACUAGUAUAUAUGUUUGUGAAAUAUUGUAGGUGUAGAUGGGGUCGGUUUCAUGGCCAAGGACAUUGGAUUCGAGAACACAGCAGGACCCGAAGGUCAUCAAGCAGUGGCCUUUAGGGCAACUAGUAAUAAAGUCAUCAUGUUCAACUGCCAUUUCAUUGGGUACCAAGACACCCUUUACCCUCACAAAGGGCAACAAUUUUAUAGAGAUUGUGUCAUCAGUGGGACGGUGGACUUCAUCUUUGGGGAUUCGGCGAGCGUGUUCCAGAAUUGUUUGAUCAUUGUGAGGAAGCCAAGUGAGAACCAACACAACAUGAUUACAGCACCUGGAAGGCAAUAUAUAGACACUGACUCAGCCCUUGUACUUCAAAACUGUACCAUCACGGGUGCCCCUGAUUACCUUCCGGUGAAGGACAAGAGUAAGACGUACCUUGGUCGUCCCUGGAAACCCUUGGCGAGAGCCAUCAUAAUGCAAUCUACAAUCGAAGACAUCAUUACACCAGAGGGUUAUGCCCCCAUGGACGGCACCAAAGGAUUGGACACUGCCUACUUUGCUGAGUUUGAAAACAAGGGACCUGGUGCCAAAACUGAAGGUAGGGUCACAUGGCCAGCUAUCAAGAAAAUUGAUACAAAUGAAGCCAAGAAAUGGACCCCUGGCGUCUUUCUUGGAUCUGACCAAUGGGUUCCACAAGCCGACAUUCCUUAUUAUCCUGACAUGGUCCCUGUAGUGUAAACUUCCAAAACCAUCGCCAUUAGUCUUUUAUUAUUAUUAUUAUUAUUAUUAUAUAUCCUUCUCCGAUUCGAGAAUAAAAGGAAAAAUUCAUCAUUAUUAUGGAAGUUGCAAUCUGUAAUUAUUUUCUUAUUAUAGAAUUAAAAGUAAUAAUAUGUUAUUAGAGAUACAUACAAAGUCUAACCAACUUAAUUUCUGAUUAAUUAUUUUGGAUUAAAUAGUUAAAAAUUUAAAGUUAUAAGAGGCUUUAAGUUAAAAUUAAAUUUAAUCCCUAAUUUUUUUUAUUAAAUUUAUUGGUGUGACAUUUUAAAUUUUAAAAAAAAACUCACUUGAUAAUAAUAUCACAAAAAAAUAUCUUUAUAAUAAACUUGAAUUUAACAAAAAAAGAAAAAGAAAAAAAGAAGAGGCUAAUUAGCAAUUCUUUAAAUUUAUCUUAGCAUUUUAAAUAGAUUAACUAAUGAUCUUAUAUAAAAAGAAAACUCAAAUCUUAAAUAUAGUACUAUUUUUAUAUAAUUAAAAAGUAGGAGCCUUCCUUUGAUAUGUAGUAGUAUAGUAUAGAUAUGCUUUUAAACAAAAAAAAAAAGAGCUAUGUAUACCAUUAAAUGAAAUAAUAUGUCUUAAUAUAUUUUAAUUAAUAUAAACACAGUUUUUAAUAUUUUUAAUUUGUAAUUAUCAUUUAACAUAAAUAAUAUUUUAAUUUAUAAAUAUACUAUUGAAUACAAAUAUUAUUUUUGAAAAUGAUAUAUUUUCUAUAAUUUUUAUUUUGGUGUUAGCGUGGUUGCAAAAUUGGCCACCUCCGUCUGGGUGUUAAUCCUCGGGAUUGGGAACCUAUUAUUCAAACGGUAAGGUCCAAGCUUCCGCAAUGGAAACGAAAGCUUCUUAGUUUUGCGGAACGCCUUACGGAACGCCUUACUCCUUACCCUGGGGAGGUUACAUAGUGAAUCGGAAAGGAAAUUAGCACGUGUUAAAUGGGAAGUGGUGUGCAAAAGCAAGAAAGGAGGAGGUCUUGGGGUUAUGAAUUUACAGCUCCAAAAUCAAGCUCUCCUAGCCAAGUGGCUUUGGAAAUGUGCCAGCGACGCCAAUUCUGUCUGCCUUGGUCAAAACCUCAAUCCAUGCCGAAUUUUGGGCGUUGCAUCAUAGAAGAUGUUAAGUUUAUUGACUGUAAUUAUUUUUCUUGGUUUGUUAAUUCAGGUAAGGGUGUUCUACUUUGGAUCGAUUGGUGCUGUGGUGAGAAACCGAUUAAAGAUUCUUUUCCCAGUCUUUUUGCUCUCGCUUUAAAUUAAUGGGCAAAAGUUGUUGGUUACGCCAUUGAUGGUAGCCUUGAUCAUGAUAGCUGGCAUUGAUUCUUCGUCCGAUGCUUCCUUGAUCGGGAUAUCUCAGCUUCAAGCCUUGGUCAAGCAUACUACGUUGUUUCAACACUUGAAAGAUGGAAUUAUAUGGCGCCACGAUCCCAAGGGACAAUUUUCUGUUCAGAAACUCUCGGCUAUUCUUUUACAUUCUGAUAAUGGUAACACUUUUAAAACAAUAUGGUCUAUUGCUGUCCCGCGUAAGAUUCAAAGCUUUAUAUGGAUGGUCCUUAUUGACCGCAUCCCCUCGACGUCAUUUCUUAUUCAAAGUCCAGAGCAAUCUCUUUGUCCCAUGGUGUGUAGAAGAACCAUUGAAUCGACAUAUCAUGUUCUCUUCACUUGUAAUUUUGAGUGGUGGAAAUUGACCUGUUGCCUACAAAACUCUUUAAAAAGACUUGUUAGUGGAAUGUCUUGGAACAGUUUCCCAGCACAAAGGUCGUAAAGAGUGGCUCUCUGGUCCCUAUGGCUUGCUCAUAUGAAAUCUCUUUCUCAAGACCAACUUCUUUUAACUACGAUGGUGCUGAUCAGGGAUUUAAAUAGCGGUCCGUUACCGAAAUAGCGGCCGUUAUAUAGCGGUAACGGCACCGUCCGAAACCGCUACUGUCGAAACCCGCUAUACCCGCAAUACACAAUAAGUAAUGUAAAAUUCACGACCGCGAUACCUGCAAUGACCGCAAUAGCAUCCGUUAUGUCCGCAACCGCGAUAAACGCAAUGCGACCGAAAACGCGACCGCAACCGCAAUUUAAAUCCCUGGUGCUGAUAUCUCCCAAGGCUUUGGGUGGGAGAAUCCAUGGGAUUGUGAAAAGGUUCUAAAUGGCCCCCACCACCCUUGGGAUAUUUGAAAUUUAACGUCGAUGCAUCAGUAAAAGGCAACUCUUCAGGUUGUGGUGGCAGUCUUAGAGGACCAAAUGGGAGUAUCCUUGCUCUCUUCCCUGCAGCAGCUGCUAAUACUUGCGGUGUUUGCGGAGCUGAGUUAAGAGCCAUCAAAAUGGCAUUGGAGCUAUUUGUCAAUGCUGGUAAGUUCGAAUCUCAUGGUUUGUUGAUUGAAUCAACUGCUGUGGAAAUUCUGCUAUUACUUUCAUCAACAUCUUUAGAGAAGCGGAAUGUCUCGACAUGUUCCUUUGGUGGUAAGCUGAUGCGGUUUGUUCCUUAUUCUGGGUAUCGCCUUAUGUUUGGUGUCUUUAUUUAUAACAUUUGCUUAUGAUUUUAUCCUAUUAAUAAAACUAUACCUUUGCUGAUAAUAAUAAACAAAAUCAAACAAACCAUUGAGGUAAAUUAAUCAAAAUAAUUAUACUAUUUAAUUAAAAUAUAAAAUAAAAUGUAUGAAAUAGUGCAUACUAACGUAAAAAAAAUCAUGUUUUAUGAAAAUGUGGCUACAAAUAUAAUCUUGUAAUUUUUAUCACAAAAGUUUGUAUUUUUAAUUAUAAUUGAUGUAAUUACUAAUUACUCAAAUUUAAGUUAUACUUGUAUAAUAAACUGAUCUUGAAUAUAAUCAAAAUUACUUUUAAUAAUUUUAUUAAAUUUGCUUAUGUCUGUUGGUUGAAGUCCCCAUCGAUUUAUUAUUUACAUUAAGGCUGGUACUUAUAAGAAACAAGUCAUUUUGACUAUGGAUAUGAUAUCGAUUAAUGUUAUGUUCAUCAGUGAUGGCCCAACCGAGACCAUCAUCACCAAUGACCUUAACUGCAUUAGGGAUCAUCUGCUUAAAACAUUCGGCACUGUAACUAUUGGUAAGUAGUAUUAUAUACAUAUAAGUUUUGGUGGUGAGGUGAGAUGACUAACUAGUACGUAUGUUUGUGAAAUAUUGAAGGUGUACUGGAUGGGGUUGGUUUCACGGCCAAGGACAUUGGAUUUGAGAACACAACAGGAGACGCUGAUAAUCAAGCAGCGGCUUUUAGGGCAACAUGUGAUAUGGUCAUCAUGUUCAAUUGUCAUUUCUAUGGGUAUUGAGACACCCUUUAUGCUCACAAACAGAAACAAUUUGUAACACCCCCUAACUCUAAACCGUCACCAAAAAAAGGUUUAGAGCAUUACCAGAGUUUACAGAAUAAUUACACACAAUUCCAUUAUUUUCUUAUGUUUAUGUCAAAGCUGUCUUCUUGAGCAGCAGUCACUAAAAUAUUUAUAACUGGAGCUAUGAAACUCCAAAUUAAGUUCCGUUAAUUUUUGUUAAAACUAGACUCAUAUACCAUUCUACCAUGAAAUUUUCAGAAUUUUUGAUUUAGCCAAUUAAUACAGUUUAUUCCUCAAAGUUACCCCUGGUGUGCUGUUUGACAGCUUCGACCUUUCUUUACUAAAAUUUAAUUAUCUCAUAGCAUAGGACUCGGAUAAUGUUCCCAUUUAUUUCUCUUGAAAAUAGACUCAUUAAAGAUUCUAUGAAUAUAAAUUAUAGCCCAUAAUUAUUUUUAUACAAUUUUUAAUGAUUUUCCCAAUUAAAAAUAGGGAAUUCCAAAAUCAAUCUGACAUUGUCUCACAAAAAUUUAAAUUCAUACUAAAUUAGUCAAAUCCUAUUUUAUACCAUAACCAAACCUAAAUUUAUCUAUUUCAUCCUUACAUUUAUAAUUUUAAAUUGACACACACAUAAGACAUCUUAGGUACAUGCCAUUACCCAUAAUUAACACACUUUACCUCAUUGAAUUCGGGAUCGGCCUGGGAUACUGAUUCAACGUUCUAUCUUUACUUAACCUACGCACGGAAACAAACCGUGCGCUUUCCGUGCGCUGAGUAUGGUAUACUCAAUGGUAUUUCUAUAAUCCGAACACUUGAUAAUAUAAGAAUUAAACUUAAAAUCACAAUAACAAAUAUAACUAUUCAUUUAUUUAUUUUAUAGAUAAGUUUCAUUUACUUACCAUAAAAAUUCUAUACAAGCCAUAUAACAAACACAACAACAUAUUUGCUCAAUUCUUUUCAUUUGCUUACCGUAUAAAUUAUUUACAAUAUAUUCACAAUUCACUUGUAUUCACACUUUACUUCUUAACAAUAUACCAUUUUAAUUCUUUCUAACAUCAAUCAUCAUCCAUUUGAACUUCACUCAUUUCAUGAACCUUUUGGUUCAUGUUUUCAAUCUCAUAUCUCAAUUUCAAUUCUCAAUUCAAUUUCUCAUUUCAUUCCAAUAGCUCAAUCAAUCAAAUUCACUCGAUUUAUCUUUUCAUUUAUUUACCCCUAUUAACAAGACUCGGACUCUGAUAGAUACGUGGAUUCCUCCCAAACACACCAGAAUAUCCAACCCAAACACACCCGGAAUAUUAUAAAUCCUCCAUAACACACCAGUAUAUCAUAUCCUCCCAAACACACCAAUAAGGCAUUAAAUGCCUCUUCGGAUAAACCGAAGUAUAUAAUAACAGAAACAUCUUCUCGGCCGAACUACAAAUCUCCUCAUCACAUCACAAAUUCAAUGGCAUGCCAUUUGUAUCCAAUUUGGUCCGAUACUGUUAAUAGGGUAUUUGUUUCAUUUUCUCAAUUUAAUAAAUCUUUCAUCAAUAUACCAUUCUAAUAAUCACAUAUAUUCACACAUUUUCACAAUUUCAUACAUUUUCAUUCAAUUCAACAUAUAUAUUUCAAUUAUUCACAUUAAUUCAUAAUUCAAUACAACUCAAUUCACUUUUCAAUAUGAAAUAUUCAAUUAUCACAGAUCUCAUAUAUUCAUAUCAAUUCCCUCAUAUUCCAAUCAAUAUAAUAUUUCAAUAUAACAUUGAUUCAAUAUUCAAAUUUUUACAUAAAUCAUAUAUAUAUUAUAUAUUUCAAUCAAUAUAAAUUCAAUCAAAAUGAUUUCAAUCAAUAUAAAUUUGAUAAAUUCAUCACAUACCAAAAUCAAUCCAUUUCAAUUGUAAAACAUCAUAAUUCUAACACUAACAAUUGUCAUAUGUAUAUAAAUAUAACAAAUAAUGACUGAGUUCGGAUUAUAGAAAUACAAACCGUAUUUUCUUGAGCUAACUCCUCAACGAUCUUUUCUUUUCCUUUAGAUGCCGAUGCCUCGUUUUCCUUGUUAGCUAAAAAUAAUAAAAAUUUACAUUAUUAAUUACAGUAUUAAUUUAAAUAAUUAAUUAAAUUUCUACUCAAUUUAUGCCUAAUGUUCGUUUGGUUGCAACUCCCAAAUUUUCUUCAUACUUUAUCCGAAAUUAUUAGUUGUUGUUCUGACUUCAUCAAUAACUUUAUAUUUCAUCCGGAUAUAUUACUUUAUUGCUCUAGUUUCAACAAUAACUUCAUAUUUCAUCCAGAUAACUUAGUUAUUUUCUUUCCUUUUUUUUUUCUUCCUAUGUGAAAAACCCAAUAAAACUCUUGCUAGUUGAAAAUUCAUAUAUUUAUUUCAUACUUCAAUUCUAUUCAUUUUCUUCCAUAUUCAUCCUAACUAUCAAGUAUUCAUAAUAUAACCCUAAUUUAAAAUUUCUUUUAAUUUAAUCCCUCUAAUACAAAACUUAUAGCUUAACUUACAAUUUAAUCCUUUAUUAAUUCUAACUUAAAAUUUAUUCAAUUCCAUCCUUAAUAUAUCUUUUUCUUCAACAUGAACCAUGCUUAGAAAUCUCAUAACUUUCAAAAUUUCCACUUAAAACAAGUAGUAUUUAUCUCUAGGAUUCCAAAAACUCAAAAAUCAUAAGAAAAUGGGCUAAAUUGACUUACCAAAUUAACUUGGAACCUUUAAAACUUUAUUUUUCCCUUUUUCUUUUCUUCCUUUCUCCCUUCGCUGUUUCGUCCCCUCUAUUCUGUUUCUUUUCUUCUUUUUAUUCUUUUUGUUUCUUUCUUUUGUUUCUUUUAUAUAUAUAUAAUGACAAUAAUAACUAUAUUAAAAAUCUAUUUAAUAACAAAUAUUUAUUUAUCACUUGUACCAAUCAUUUUUAUACACUUGUUUUUCUUUUUUUUUAUAUAUUUAUAUAUAUUUAAUAUUUUAAUAAUAUACUUAUAUAAUAAGUAAACAUAUAUGAAUUUUAUAAAUGUAUGUAUACUAGUAUUACACAUGUCAUUAUACAUACCAUAUAUUUGUCAUUCUUUUCUUUAUUUAUCAAACAAAAAUCUCAUUAUUUAAUUAUUUAAUUAAUAAAUAUCUUUUAUUCUAAAAUUAAGUAAAUAUACAAUUAUAUUCCAAGUGUUCAAAUACAUAUAUUACACUUGUAUAAUUUUAUCAUCAUACAUUUGUCUUUAUUUAAAUUUAUUUUAUAACAUAAUAAUUUAAUAUCAAUUAAAUAAUAAUAACCAUAAUAAUAAAUUAAUUAAUUAAUAUAAGAAAAUCCUAGACUCUUCCAUCUUUUGCCGCCUAAAUUCAUACAUUAGGCAUAAUUGCCUACUUGGUCCUUUUUAUUUUCUUUUAAUCUACAAUUUAACUUUCAUCCUUUAUUCAAUUUAGUCAUUUUUCCUAAUUACUCUUAAUUAAGCUAAAUUCACUUAAUUAAAACUCUAAUUAACCACUCGAUUAACUUAAUAAAUAUUUUUAAUAAAUAUUUUCUAAUCCAUUUUUCAGAAACAGUGACCCGAAAAUACACUUUUCUAAUAACCUUAAAGUUUGGGUCAUUACACAAUUUUAUAGGGAUUGUCUCAUCAGUGGGACGGUGGACUCAUCUUUGGGGAUGUUGCGAGCGUGUUCCAAAACCAUCUGAUCAUCGCGAGGAAGCCAGGUGAAAACCAAAACAACAUGAUUACUGCCCACGGAAAGAAAUUCCCAUACAUUCACUCAGCUAUUGUGCUUCAAAAUUGUACCAUCUCGGGCACCCCUAACUACCUCUUGUUGAAGGACAAGAGCAAGAUGUACCUUGGUCGUCCCUGGAAAGCUUUGGCAAGGGCCAUCAUAAUGCAAAGCAAUAUUGAUGACAUCAUUACACUAGAGGGUUACUCCCCCAUAGAAGGUAUCGGUUACUUUGUAGAGUUACAAAACAGUGGACCCGAUGCCAAAACCGAAGGCAGGGUCAAAUGGCCAGCUAUUAAGAAAAUCUAUAUGAAUGAAGCCAAGAAAUGGACUCCUGACGUCUUUCUUGAAAUUGAAACUAACAAAUGGAUUUCGCAAACCGGCACUCCUUGUUAUCUUGACAUGGUCUAUGGAGUGUAAACUUCCAAAACCAUAGCCAUUAGUAUUAUUUUAUUAUCAUUAUUUGUAAUCAUACUGUCAAUUAUUGAUUAAUUUAAACAAAAUUUUCCUAUUUUUUAUUUAUAAUAAUAAUAUUCUACCCUUAUCCAAGGUAAAAGGGGAAUCAUAAUUAUUAUGUAUGGUCGACUGUGAAAUUAUUUUCUCAUUCCCUUAAUAAAAAAAUAGGGAAUAGUUUAUAUUAAGAUGAUAGUAAAAUAUAUAAUUUAUACAACUUUUGAAGAUGUACAAAUAUUAUUAUACACAUUCAUAUAUGAUAUCUUUUUUAAGUUACCUUUUUAUCAAAUAACUUUAAUUGAGUUACUUAAAAUUAAUUAAUUUUUUUAUUAGAAAAACAAAACAAACACAUUAAAACUAAUGCAACAAAGAAAACAUAAACAAAACAAUUGGAAAUUAAAAAUGAUGAAAUCAAUAGAUUGAAAUCAAUAGAUAAAAAAAGGGGGUGAAAAUUUAAUGUAAAAAAUUGAAAUCAACAACUAAAAAUUAAGAAAAACUUUGGUAAAAAUUUAAAAUUUGAAAACUUAUCACCAUAAAUGGUGACAUUAUCAAAUUUUGGUAUUUAAUUAAAAGUUAAAAUAGAAAAUUAAAAAUGAAAAAAAUUGACUGCCUACAAGAGAAUAAAAGACAAUUAAAUUUCAGAAAAAACUAAAAAUGAUUAAAAUAUUAUAAGGGAAAAAAUUCAUUUUUGUUUAUUUAAUAAAAAAGUAAUUAUUUUUAAAUAUUUUAAUUAAAGUUAAAAAAUUCAUAUAUGAAUAGGCAUUCAAUAAUACUUAUAUGUUUUUAAAAAUUGAUAAUGUGACUAUUUCUUUGGUGACUAAAACUAUAUAUUUUAGAAUGAUCAUAAAAUAAAUUAUUCUAAAAAUACAAUAUGUCAUUAUUAGAGAUAGAUAUAAAGUCUAAUAUGCUCUUAAGCUAUGAAACUAUUCUUGAAAUUAUUAGAGAUAAAUAUGAAAUUAUUCUUGGAAGAGCAUCAAAUACUCCUUAAUUUCGACUUCCAUUAUAGAGGUUGAGUUCGUUUCAUGUUUUGAGGCUACCUCACAUGGAGUAUGAUUGAAGAGUUUCACAUCCGAGUUUAGAUUUGUGGAUUCGACUUCUAUACUGUUGAUGAUAUAUUGUGACAAUUCAACUACAGUCUUUAUGGUUAAGAACAACAAAAGUGAAAGUCGAAGUAAACAUAUCGACAUUAAGUAUUUAGCUAUAAGGGGACAUGUUAAAGAAAAGAAAGUGGUCAUUGAACACAUUAACACUGAACAAAUGUUAGCUGAUCCUUUGACUAAAGGCAAGCCACCACACAAAGUUAAAGAUCAUACUGUCACUAGUAUCACUGAAUUACUAAUUAAUUGUUAUUAUUACUAGUAUUUAUGGACAAUACGAACCAAGUAGGAGAAUGAUGAAUGUGUUUUAUGGUUUGUGGGAAUAGCCCCAUGUUUGCUUCCAUUGCUAACAUUUUUGAUCCACUUUCACUUUGUAUGUGUGGUAGUGGGACAUGUUUUGGCGGUUUUUGAUGGGGAACCACCGCUAUAAAUCCUCCCAAGCAUAAAAAAAAUUCCAUUUAAUGAAGUUUUCGAGUGCUUAGAAGACUUUGGCGAUUUUCGUGUUUUCAUAUAGCUAAAUUUGACGUCCUUGCCGGUUGUUUGACACACUCAAUAGUGGUGUUACAAAGCCUAGAUUUUACAUAUGGUUCAUGCAAUAUUCGGAGGUAUUUAUGUUCGAUAUUUUCCGCUGCACUUUAACGUUUAAACUGUAAUUUAUACUUACAUUUAAAAUUUAAUUAGUUUUUUAAAUAUUAUAAUUUUAAUUCUAGUAAUUAGCCUAAAACAAUAUUUCUUAUUUUAAUUGUUAAAUAUAAUUAAAAUAUAUUAACAAUUAGUUUAUUAACUCAAAUAUUAUAAUAAAAAAUUUAAAUAAUAAUUAAAAAAAGUUGGCAUCAUAAUUUAAGUUGAUAAUAAAAUAGAAUACUAAAUAAAAAUAAAAUAUUGUAUAUUAUACAAAAAAAAUUAAUACAAAAGUAAAAAAAUAAUAUAUUGUAGUUAAUAAUAUAGUUUUACUUAUUUGUUUAUUCUUUGGCUCUUUCAAAUCAUCAAAAAUAUAAACACAUUUGUAAAUUGUAGAAGUUGUUUUUGUAACCAUAGAAUUCAAAUUUAUUAUGAAUGAUAAUAAACCUACAAAAAGAUAUAUAUAUAUACUAUGUAUAGAUUAUUUUCUUCUAAUUUUUUAAUUAAUACAUAAAACUAUUGAAAAUAAUAUAAGCAUGCAUCAAUAAUAGUUCAUCAUAACUACGAAAAAUAUUUACAUUAAAUUAAUUAAAUAUGAAAGAGAUUUACAUUAAAUUAAUAAACAUAUUUAAUAACGAUGAUUAGAAAUAAUUAUUAAAAUUUUAUAUGAAAACUCCUUUUACUUUUUCAAUAUUUCUCUCAUCCGUUUACAACUUCGGUGUAAUAAUAAUAGUAAUGCUAAUAAUAAACUAAAAAUAACCAUUAAUUUGCUAUUAAUUUGCUCAGAAGGGGUCACUUUGGUAGUAUAAAUAGGGCAUUUCAAUAACGUAUUAUUCAAGCCAAGGGGCAAUAAGCAAUAAGCAUCCCCACAACUUCAAAAAGUUUUUCUUUCUUUCUUUUCCUAUCUCUAUUUGAAAUCUGUUUCAGGGGAAAGAAGAAGGAAAAUUUUAUGAUUUUUUGAGGGCUUGUUAAUAAUAAAUAGAAAACAAUGGCGAACAAUGUUGCUGUUAUUGGUAUCUUUUCGGUGUUAUUGGUGACAGCAGUGGUGGGUGUUACGCAUUUAAAAAAUAAUGGUGAUUCGAAAAGCGGUGAAAUAUCAAGUUCGACGAAAGCGGUGCAAACAACAAGGAGCUGAUAAGAAUGAGUUUCCAAGCAGCGAUAGAGGAAAUAAGGAAAGUGUUGGCGAAUUCAGCGACGAUACAAGACUUGAAUAAAGAUGACAACAACAAAGCAGCCCUUAAGGUUUGUAAAGAAGUGUUGGAUUUAUCAAUAGCUGAUCUGCAACUUUCAUUUGAUAAGCUGGGGGAUACGAGAUGAGUAAGAUCGGUGACUACAUACUGAACCUGAGGGUGUGGUUAAGCGGUGCCUUAACUACCCUACAAACAUGUGUAGACUCAUAUGCGGAGGUAAAUAAUGAACAAGCGGAGAAGAUGAAUUCAAUUUUGAAGACUUCAAUAGAGCUUACCCAAAAUUCUUUAACGAUGGUGACUAAGUUAUCCACCAUCUUGAAUGGCCUUAACAUUCCAGGCCUCAAUAUUGGCACGACUGGGUUUGAACGUAAGCUCCUGUCUAACGAUGGACCUGAGUGGAUGGGCCACGCUGAGAGGAGACUACUUCAAGCAAAACCAACAGAUUUGAAGCCUAAUGUAACAACCCAAAAUUCGUGGGCACCAGAAAAGUGUGUUAUCGGGUCUCCGUCUUAGUGAAAUAAGUUCGAAAAUAAUUAUUAAAAAUAUUUAUGAGUCUAGUAGUGUAUUUAAUUGGGUUUUAAUUAAGUAAAUUUAGCUUAAUUUAGAGUAAUUAGUAAAAAGGAUUAAAUUGAAUAAGGGUAAAAGUUUAAUUAUAGAUUAAAGAAAAAUUAGAAGGACUUAAGAGGAAAUUAAACUAUUUCCUAUAGCUGAGGCGGUUUAACGUGGAAAAUAUCAAAAAUUUUAUUGAUUUAAAAAAAAUAUAUAUAUUUAAUAAUUAAGUAUAUUAUAUUAUAUUAUAUUAUAUUAUAUUAUAUUAUAUUAUUAUUAUAUAUAAAAGAAACAAAUAAGUUAAAAGAAACAGAAUGAAAGCAAACGAAACAGAGAAGAACAGGGGAGAAAGAAAGGAAAGAAGAAAGAAAAGGGGAAAUAAGGUUUAUGAAGCUUGGAGUUAAUUGGUAAGCUCAACCAAGUCCUUUUCUCAUAAUUUUGAUAUUUUAGAAGUCUUAAAACAAGUUUUUGAUGAAAUUAAGUUGUUAGUUUGGAAGUUCUUAGGUUUUUAAACAAAGUUCAUGUUGAAUAAAAUGAUGAAAUAGGUGUUUAAUUGAAUGAAAUUCAAGUUAGAAUAGAUAUAAGGAUUGAAUUGCAAAGUAAGCUAUAAGUUUUGUGUUUUAGGGACUAAAUUGAGGAAAAUUCGGAAUUAAGAAAAUAUUUUGAAAAUUUAAUAGUUAAAUUUGAGUUUAAAUGAAAUUUGAAUAGGAAUAAGGUGUGAAUUGGUGUUAUAAAUUUGGUUAUUAACAUUUUACAUCAAAACAGUUUUGGGAAGUAGCAAUGGUCUGACUUUGAAAAUUCACUAAAAAUUUUAUAAAUUGAACUAGAGAAUGAACAAAAUAUGGAAUUAAAUCUUAUUGAGUCUAUUUUCUUUAGUAGAAACAGUGUAAGCAAUUAAUUGAUGAAUCAAGAGAUAUUUGAAAUUUUGUAAUACUGGUUCGGGGUGAUUUCGAGAUGCCCUGUUUUAACUUUGGAAAAUCAUUAAAAAUUGUACAAAAAUUAUUAUGGAGUGUAAUUUAUAUAUGUGAACUCCUUAAUGAAUCUAGUUUCAAAAUAAAUAAACAAGAACCUUAUUCGAGUUCUGUACAAUGAGAUAAUUUAUUUUUAGUAGAGAGAGGUCAGAACUGUCAAAUGAAAUAACAGGGGAGUAUUUAAUGAAUAAACUGUACUAAAUGGCUAGACCAAAAAUUCUGAAAAUUUUAUGGUUAGAAGAUAUAUGAGUCUAGUUUUAAGGAAAAUUUACGGAUAUUAAUUUGGAGUUUCGUAGCUCAAGAUAUAAAUAAUUUAGUAACAAUGACUCAAGUAGACAGCUUAAUGGUGAAAUUAUAUAUAUACAUUAAAAAUGGUUAAAUUUGCAUGUUUAGGCUCAUGAAUUAAAUUGAAUCAUGUUGUAUUAAUGAUUAUAAAUUAUUAUUUUUGUAGCCAACAAAGAACCUGAAGCAUCAGCAUCGAAAGGAAAGGAGAAAGUCAUCGAGGACUAAAACGGGAGAAUUAUGGUGUGUAUUACUAUAAUUCGAAUUUUAAUUAUUAUUGAUUGCUGAAUUUUUUUUAUUGUUAUGUAUGGUAAGUAAGACUUGAGGUAAGUAUGUGAAAUUGAUAUGAAUAUUGAGUGAAAAUGAAAGUGAUGCAAAUUGAAUCAAAUUGAAUUGAAUAAGUGAAUUAUGGAAUAUGUAAUUAUUUGAGAAGCGUAUUGAUUGAAAAAUGUUUGGCGAUUUGAAUUGUGAAUUGAAAGUGAUAUAGGAUUGAGAAAGUGAAUUGAAUACCCUAUUAACUAGUCGGGCUAAGUCGGAUAUAGUUGGCAAGCCAUAGGAUUGGAAGUGUUCAGGGAUACUUCGACCUCGAGUCGAUGAGACACUGGGUGUCACUAUAUUUCUUCGGAUAGAUUCGAUGAGGUACCGGGUACCAACUUUACUUCGGCUAGGCCGAUGAGACACUGGGUGUCAACUAUUACUUCGAACUAUCCGAUGAGGCACUGGGUGCCAUAUUGGUGUGUUUGGUUGGAUCCGUGUAUCCGCCAAAGUCCGAGUUACGUUAAUAGGGUGAAAAAUUGAAAUGUGAAUUUGAGGCAUUGAAACGAGAAAAAUAAAUUGAAUUACGAAUUGAAAUUGGAAUUGUGAUAAUAAGAGAAAAGUAUGAAAUGUAUAUUCAUAAGUGAUAUAAAUUUAAGUUUGAGAAAAUACAUUGAUUUAUGAAUUAGUACAUAUGACAUUAAUUGUUAGGUAUUUUGAUAUUUAUGUUUUUACUAUUGUUGAUAUAAUUUGAAUUAUGGUAAUAUCACUGAGUAUAUCCAUACUCAGCGUACGGUUGUUUCCGUGCGCAGAUUAGUAGAAGUCAAGUGUCCCAGUUCAGCAUCCAGAACAUUCCCGACUCCAACACAAAUUUGGUGAUGUAUAUUUUUCUUUUGGGUAAAGGUGGCAUGUACAUAUGUGUUAUAUAGUCACUUGAAUAUGCAUAUUACUUUGGGUAGUGAAGGUUGAAUUAUAAGAUUUAGAUGGUUAAAUGAAAUGGUAAGAAAAGUAUAUGAUAGUUAUUAAGUUGAAAUUAUGUUAAUGAUAUAAAUAUUAGUUAUAUGAAUGUGAAAAAUUGGUGCUGGUUGUUUUAGUUUGAAUUUGCAGGAGGUUUUAGGUAAAAAUAAGCAGAAAUGCUGCCGAAAUUUUUAUAAAAAAAAAGAAAUAAAAAAAAAUUUAAAAUAUUCGAACAAGUCCCGUUCUACUUUUAAUACGUGCUUGAACUUUGAGAGUUCAAGAUAGGGACUCAAUUAUUAUAUUAUACUAUGAAAAUUUUUAAUAAUUGUAAAUUAUUAGUAAGUUGUCUGAUAUGUCCGGUAAUGCCUCAUAACCUCGUUUCGGUAACAGUUUGGGGUUAGGAGGUGUUACACCUAACGUUGUGGUUGCUAAGGAUGGUAGUGGAAAAUAUGAUACCAUCACCAAGGCCUUGGCUGAAGUCCCUCCAAAAAGCCCUAAUCGAUUUAUUAUUCACAUUAAGGCUGGUACUUACAAGGAACAAGUCCUUUUACCCAAGGAGAUGACUAAUGUUAUGUUAAUCGGUGAUGGCCCAACUAAGACCAUCAUCACCAAUGACCUUAACUGCAUUAGGGAUCAUCCGCUUAAAACAUUCGGCACUGCAACAGUUGGUAAGUAGUAUUAUAUACAUAUAAGUUUUGGUGGUGAGGUGAGGUGAUUAACUAGUAUGAAUGUUUGUGAAAUAUUGUAGGUGUGGACGGGGCUGGUUUCAUGGCCAGGGACAUUGGAUUCGAGAAUACAGCAGGACCCCCUGGUCAUCAAGCAGUAGCUUUUAGGGCAACAUGUGAUAUGGUUAUCAUGUUCAAUUGUCAUUUUAAUGGGUACCAAGACACCCUUUAUGCUCACAAACAAAAACAAUUUUAUAGGGAUUGUCUCAUCAGCGGGACGGUGGACUUCAUCUUCGGGGAUGCUGCGAGCAUAUUCCAAAAUUGUCUGAUCAUCGCGAGGAAGCCAGGUGAAAACCAGAACAACAUGAUUACAGCCCACGGAAGGAAAUUUCCAUACACUCACUCAGCCAUUGUGCUUCAAAAUUGUACCAUCUCGGGCGCCCCUGACUACCUUCCGGUGAAGGACAAGAGCAAGACGUACCUUGGUCGUCCCUGGAAAGCUUUGGCGAGGACCAUCAUAAUGCAAAGCAAUAUUGAUGACAUUAUUACACCAGAGGGUUUGUAACACCCCGUACCCGAGACCAUUGCCGGAGUCGGACACGAGGGGUUCACAGACUAAAUUCGCUUACUAUCGCAGUCCAUUUUAAAUUUUUCCAGACAGCUGGCUAACUGUGUCGCUGUCACCUUAAAAAUCAUAUCUUGAGUUUCACAACUCGAAAAUCAGUUUCGUGAUUUUUCCCUGAAACUAGACUCCUAUAUCCAUCUACAUAUUCUUUUCUAGAAUUUUUGGUCGGGCCAAUUAGUACAGUUUAUUAGUUAAAGUCUCCCCUGUUACAGGGUGCGACUACACUGACCUUCAUGCAUUACAAUUCAGAUAUCUCCCUGACAGGGCUUCAAUACUGAUGCCGUUUGUUUCUAUAGAAACUAGACUCAGAGAGGAAUCUAUACAUAUAUGGCAUGACUCCUAAUUAUCUCUGGUUAAUUUAUAAUGAAUUUCCAAAGUCGGAACAGGGAAUCCAGAAACCGUUCUCGCCCUGUCUCACAAAAACCUAAUUAUCUCUUAACAUACCACUCAUUUGACCGUUUCGUUUCUUCCAUAUGAAAGUGGAUUCAUCAAGGUUCAUUUAAAUAAUUGAUUCACUAUUUAAUUCUAUUCCUACUAUUUUUAGUGAUUUUCCAAAUCUACAUCACUGCUGCUGUCAGCAUCUGCCUUUAAGGUAGACUUUACCUAUUUCAUAGUUUCCAUGAUUCAACUAGCCCUUUUAGCAUAAAUAGCACAAAUUAUGAUAGUGAUUAACCAUUCCCAUGGCCAAUCCUUGUUAAGCAUAUCCACACCUCUCAAUAACCAUAUCCAUACCAAAUGAUUAUAACAUUAUGCUCAAACAUAUAUAAGCCAUUUUCGCAUGGCUAUCCAAAAUUAUACAAAUCCAAAGGGUCCAUGACCCACUACAAAAAGGGUAGUCCUAUACAUGCCAUUUUCAGAGUUCAACCAAAAGUGUACCAAAAGGGCUUUGAUAGUGUGGGCGACUUCGACUUCAAUAAUCCCGAGUCCGAUAGCUGACGAACCAAAAUCUAUAAAACAGAGAUUCAAAGAACGGAGUAAGCAUUUAAUGCUUAGUAAGUUUUAAGCAAGACAAAGUGUUCUCAAUCACUAUUAUUGGUCAUUCAUUUCAACUGUUCGAUGAAGUUAAUCUAGAGCUUCAUCUCGAUCUAUAAUAUCAUUAAACGCAACACUUGGCUGCCACAUAUAUACUUUCGAAUAAUAAUGACCUAGAUGGUCAAAUAUUUCUAAAGCACAUUCUCACAUUUGGAGUUAUAAUAUUAAUCACAUUUACCUACCUCUUUGAUACUGAUAAUUCACCUCGAAAUCACUCCACCGAUGAGUAAGUAAUACGUACCUGAACAUCUUGAAUACAUAAUACUUAUUUGAUGGUAACUUAAUGCAGAUACUCAAUAUCAAAGUCUUACUUGAAUCCUAGCAUUUAGCCGUCGGGUCUUUAAAGCUCGGAUAUAGUACGAGCACGAAGCCUACGGACAUUAAUCAGGAUAAUAUUCUCGCAUAAAGCCUGCGGGGUUUUAACCCGGAUAUAGUACUGACACAAUUGCCCUUCGGGACUUAUCACAUUUAUACACUUCCACAUCCAUCACAUUGGCCAUUCGGCCUUAUCACAUAUAUACACUUUCACAUUCAUCACAUUGGCCAUUCGGCCUUAUCUCAUAUAUGCAUGUUCACAUUCAUCACAUUGGCCAUUCGGCCUUAUCACACAUACACAUGUUCACAUUCAUCACAUUGGCCAUUCGGCCUUAUCACACAUACACAUGUUCACAUUCAUCACAUUGGCCAUUCGGCCUUAUCACACAUACACAUGUUCACAUUCAUCACAUUGACCAUUCGGCCUUAUCACGCAUAUAUACUUUCACAUUCAUCACAUUGGCCACUCGGCCCUAUCACAUAUAUAUACUUGUACAUCAAUUUCAUCAUAACAAAAUUGACUAGGUAUACUAGUCAUUUGUGGCUUAUAGCUUCACUUUAAUACGAAUUUGGUACUUUGAUUACCAAUGUUUAAUCGAUAGCUUAUAAGCAACUCAAAUGGUUUUAUUAAGGUUUACAACAAAAUUCCAAAUUCAGCACAAGCUGUUUUUUUUCUGAGCAACAGUCAUUAAAUUAUUCGUAAAUGGAGCUACGAAACUCCAAAUGGAGUGCCGUUAAUUUUCCCUGGAAAUAGACUCAUACAUAUCUUAUCCAGAAAAUUUUCAGAAUUUUUAGUUUGGCCAAUCAAUACCAGAUUUUUCUUAAAGUUUCCCCUGUUUCACUAUUUGACUAAUCUGACCACUCUUCACUACGAAUCAAAUUUCUCAUUGUACGGAAUUAAAAAUGUGUUCUAUUUGAUUUCAUUUGAAACUAGACUCAUUAAGGAGUCUAGGCAUAUAAAUUUUAUCUUAUAACCAUUUUUUUACAAAUUAUAAUGAUUUUUCUAAAAAUAGAACAGGGGAUUUCGGAGUCAUUCUGACACUGUCCCACACAACUUUAAAUAUCUGUUUAUAGGAAAUUUCUUUGCUUCCACGGUCUCUUUUAUAAGAAACUAGACUAAAUAAGCUUUGAUUACAUAUUUUAUUCAGCCUAUAAUUCUACACCAACAAUUUAUAGUGAUUUUCUAAAAUCACGUUACUGCUGCUGUCCAAAGCAAAUUAUUACAAUUUGCUCUUAAAUUUCCAAGUCCAAACACUUAUGAACUUACCAUUUGAGUUUAAGACAUAUUAUGGCCACAUCAUAUCUUAUUAAAUCAACUCAUUAUGUCCUAUUAUGACUGAAUUUACUCAACGUUUAAUCACUUAAAACUUACCUCGGAUGUGGUCGAACGAUUUCGGCGGCUAUUCGAUCACUUUUUUCCUUCCCUUUAUCGGAUUUAGUUCCCCUUUGCUCUUGAGCUUAAUUUAACAAAUAAAUUGAUUUAAUCAUUUGAACAUCGAAAAGAGAAAAUCAAGGUACUUAACCCAUAUAUAUAUACAUUAGACAUUAAAGUCACAUACAUAUGAAAUCAUGAAUCAACUCAACAUAUUAACCCACACUCUCUUUUAGCCGAUUGUCUAAGCCAAGAUUAAGCCACCAAUAUGCUUACUUAUGGCCGAACAUACACAUCAACUUAUGUACUCAUUCAUGUGGCCGAACAUACAUGUCUAUGUUGAGGCCGAUUGCAACACUUAAUACAUUCUACAAGUAUGGUCACUUGUAUUGACUAAACACCAUUUUGUUUCAAGUUCAAAACUUGGCCAAAACACAUAUAUACACUAGUAAAGCAUCCUCUCCCUUUCCAUCAAUUCAACACAUGCAUUACUCAUUAAUAUACAAAAUUAUAUUCGGCCUUAGCACACAACUUGCUAGCCGAUUCUUCUCCAUCUAGCAACUAAUGCACAUAUGUGCUCAUUUGUUAGACUCUACUUCAUCUAACAACAACCAUAUUUUCCCUUCUACUUCCUACCAUGGCCGGAUGCUCAAGAUACCUCAAUAUCGAAACUUUUAGCUUGGAUUGCUUAAAGAACUUGGUGAUGAGUUCAAAUUUACCUAACACCUCAAGCCUCAUAACACAUCUAUAUAGCUAACAUGCUAAUAGUCUCAAGGCUUCAACUAAAACUUUUGAAGCCUCUUAGUCGAAUACUAACUCUCUAAUAAUCCCAAAUCCAUCCAUGAGAUAGUUAGAAUUUAGACUAAUCAUCCAAGGGAUGUAUGAACUUUCAAAGUAACACUAAACAUACCUUAAUCUAGUGAGCCUUCAUAGCCGAUUUUUCUCCAAGCUCAUUCCCUUCCUUUCUUUCUUCUAUUCGGCCAAAGAUGUUCAAGGAUGAACACUUUUUUUUUCUUUGUUUCCUUUCUUCCAUUCACGGCAAAGGGGGGGCAUGGAUGAGACCAUUUUUUUUCAUCACUCCACCUUUUUGCAUUACUUUAAUCCUAACCCAUUUUUUUUAUUCUUUCUAACAUAACUCACUAACACAACAUGUUUGCAACAUGUUUCCACCCAUAGCAUGGCCGGCCACUAUGUUUUAAUUUUGGGUAAUUUGAAAUGCAAACCCAUCAUUUCACAACAUGCAUUAUUAGGCCACUUUACAUUUGCCUAGCACAUUUCCAAAUUUUCUCACAUAAGUCCUAUUUGAUAAAAUUCACUUACUAUUAACAAAAUUCAAACAUGAAAUUUUCACACAUGCAUAUGUACAUAUAAUGAGCAUCAACUAUGACGGUUAAUUAUCUUUAUGACUCGGUUUAGUGGUCCCGAAACCACUUUCCGACUAGGGUCACUUUAGGGGUGUCACAGGGUUACUCCCCCAUGCAAGGCACCGUAGGAAUAGACACUGGUUACUUUGUAGAGUUCCAAAAUAGGGGACCCGGUUCCAAAACUGAAGGCAGGGUCAAAUGGCCAUCUAUCAAGACAAUCGAUAUAAAUGAAGCCAAGAAAUGGACUCCUGGCGUCUUUCUUGAAACUGAAACUGACAAAUGGAUUUCGCAAACUGGCACUCCUUGUUAUCCUGACAUGGUCCCUGGAGUGUGAACUCCCAAAACCAUCGCCAUUAGUAUUCUUUUAUUAUCAUUAUUAGUAAUCAUGUUGUCGAUUAUUGAUUAAGUUAAAAGAUAUUUUAACCUUAAGUAUUUGUUAUUUUAACUUAUUGGUAAUGAUUAUGUUUAAACUUUUAUUCAAGUUAUAAUUCUAUUAUAAAGUUAAUAAAUAAAGUUAUAGUAACCUCCCCAACUUGGCCUAAACAUUAGAUCUGAAUUCAGAAGAUUAUAUUAGCCACCGAAAUGACCUUGUAAGUUAUCAGAAUUUUUGAAAACGGUCAUUUUAAAACAUUUGAUUAUUUUAGAAGAAAACCUAGAUAAUUACCGAUUUAUUUACUAUUCAAAAUUCUUAUUUAUAAUUUAGCAGCAUAAAAGUAAUAAUAGUUUGUAUUUUUAAUAAAAACCAAUGUUCAUGCAUAAUUAAUUAAUAUUCAUAUUUAAAAAUCCUAAAAUCAAAUUAAAUGUCAUGCAGGCUGUAAAAUAAAAACCAAAUCCUAAGUUCUAUAUAACAUGUAACAACCCGUUUUCAAUGAAAUCGAAAUAGUGGUUUCGGGACCAUAAAUCCAAGUCAGAAAGAAAAUUUAUUUUAAUAUUAUUGCAUGGUCUACAUUAUGAUAGGAAAGACGUAUGAAAAUUUUGAUAAGAAAAUUUUAUCGAUUUUAUGUAUAAUUAGGAGGAAAGGACCAAAUUGCAUAAAGUGCAAAAGUUGAAUUCUAGUAGCUAAAAGGAUUAAAUAGUUAUGGAAUUCAAAACUUGGGGUCCUUAUAUAAUAAUUAUACCAUUAAGAGAAGUUAUUAGAUAUUUAUGAUAAAUCAUCCAUGGAAAUUUAAGAAAAGAAAAGGAUUAAAUUGGAAAGUUAAAAAAUUAAAAGAUGAUAAGUUAAUUAAAAGAAUAAAAUAAGUUUAUUUCAUCAUCUUCUCCAAAUUUUCUAUGGAAACCCUAGCUUAGAAAAAGAGAUUCAAGCAAGCUUAAUUAGGUAAGUAAUCAUGUCCCGGUUUUAGUAAUUUUUACAUUUCUGAGAUCGUAAUAACCUAAUCUAUUUAUUUGGGGAUCAAUUUGCAAAGUUAUAAAAGUAUUUAAAAUUUUCCAUGGAUUAUUAUGCUGAAAUUUUGAAAUUUAAGGUAGAAAAUGAAAGGUUGUUGAUAGAUAAAUGAUAAACUGUAAUUUAUACAUAUUUUUACCCCAUGCUUAACGCAUUUUAUGGAUGAUUUUUCCUUAGAAUUAGUGAAUUCGAUGCUCCUAAUGCCUUAAUUUCAUGUUUUAUACUUAGGUGAGCAUAGGAGAGCGAAAGGAACGAGAAACGAGCCAAAAAUGGAGAAAAUGGGCCAAAGUACGAAAUCAACACGGCCUGGACUUCCUCACACAGACAGCCCACGCGGCCGUGUCAAUUUGGCAGAAUCGAAGCACGACUCACAUGGGUAGAACACACGCCCGUGCCAAUCUAACAGGCUCGACACGGCCUGAAGUAAUCGCACACGGGCAUGUCAUAUAGGCGUGUCCCUGCCGAGCCCAAGUUUAGUCCAAUUCGGAAAAUGCCAAUUUUGAGGGUUUUUAGGCAUUCCAAAGCUUAUAAAUACAACCUGGAGGAGGAAGAAAAAGGGGAGGCACAGAGAGGAAGGAAUGAAUUACUUGAAGGAAGCCGAUUGAUCCAUCUCAGAAGCCGAAUUCAUCGUCAAGACUGAAGAUCUCCCUUCAAUUUCCCUUCAGGGUUUUGGGAUUUCUUUAUGUUUUGUAUUCAUUAUUCUUCUGAGAUGUUUUCCUUUUUAGUUAUGAACUAAAUCCCCUAAAUACCUAAGGGGGAUGAAACCUAAGACGAAUCUUGUUAUUAUUUUCUGAAUUGUAUGAUAAAUAUUUAACUUGUUCUUAAUUAUGUGUUCUUAAUUCUUGUUUUGAUAUCCUAGGAUACUGAUUCAAGAUAAGCUCUUAUUCAGAGGAGGAAUAGACCCUGUCUAAGAGUACAUUUGUCAUAAUUAAGCGGAGUUGCUUGCGCGCCUAGAUAUAGGGUGACAAGAUUUUGUCGGAUUAGGGUGAAACCUAAUAAGGGGAUCCAUAGAUCGAGUUAAUGCAACCCUAAGAUGUUAAUUAGAGAAAAGUUUUAAUUAUUCAAUCUAGGGAUUAGACGUUAUUAGUCUUGAAUAGGAAUAAUAACAUAACUUAAGGAUCUCUACGAAACAAGUUAAAUGAAUAAAUCGUCCGAUUCAGAGUCAGAAUAACAAGUGAAGUUUAGGUGGAUUUUUCCUUAGGUAUUGUCUUAAUUCAAUCGUUUUUCCAAUAGUAAUUCCCCAAUUCUAUUUUCUGUGAAUUCUUAAUUUAGAUAAUUAGUUAGUUAAAACAAACCCCCUUAUUUUUAGGCUAGAUAAUAAAAAGACAGUCAUUACUAGUACUUUUAGUUCCUUUGGGUUCGACAAUCCGGUCUUGCUAAAGCUAUACUACUAUUCGAUAAGUACACUUUCCUUCAUCGUGAUAAGAGUUAGUUUCGAGAACGAUUCAUUAUAAAUAUUUAAAACCUGUCGCAAAUAUCGCGUAUCAAUAAACAACUUUUGUAAAGUGAAUUUUGAUGAAAUCGUGAUUUAGGGACUAAAUUGUAAAGAUAUAAAAUUCAAUGAAAUUUUCUAAUUUUUAUGAAAUAUAUCGACUGUUUUUGUUAUAUGAAAAAUUCGACUAGGCUUGGAAUAAGGAUUAAAUUGCAUGAAUUUCAUUUUCCGAGCCUAGGGAUGAAAUUGGAAUUAAUAAAAGUAUAGGUGCAAAAUUGUACUUUUUCCUAAAAUGUGAAUUUGAGUGAAUUGAAUAUGAAUUUCAUUAAAUUGAGUUAAAUUUAUCCGUAUAGAUCUAGAUAGACCUAGUACGAAAUUGGAUCGAGGAAAAUAAAAAGUUUCGGAUUAGCAGAUUCUCAUAUAUGAACAAGUAUCGAGGUAAGUUCAUGUAACUAUCACUAUAGGAAAAUAGGGCUUUAGCGGCGUUUUAUCAAAAAACGCCGAAAAAAUUAUAAAAAACUGAGCAAUAGCGACGUUUUUGCUAAAACGCCGCUAAAGACCAGAGCAUUAGCGGCGCUUUUGGUAAAACGCCGCUAAAGACCAAAGCAUUAGCGACGUUUUUGGUAAAACGCCACUAAAAGUCAUAUAACUCUUAAAAUCCUAAACCCCAAAAAACAUAAAACACCAAUCUAUAACCCUAAAAUAGUAAACCUUUAAACCCUAACAAGCCGUAAACACUAAACUAUAACACCUAAAAUCCUAAACGUCGCAAUAGGUGCAUUUUUAGUGGCGCUAGUUUAAAUUAUAGGUUAAUGUUUGGGGUUUAUGGUCUAGGAUUUAUGAUUUAGGGUUUUGGAUUUAGGGGUUGGGGUUUAGGGGUAAAUAUAGUGAACUACUUAACUUGUGUAUCUUGGAUUUUUUUAUAAUAUAAAUCUAAAUAAGAUAAAUAUAAAUUAUUAUUUUAAAAAUAUAUAUAUCAAAAUGGGUUAAAUCCCAAAAGUAUAAAUUAUGAACACAAUUAUUGAUAUAAUAUCAUUUUAUAUUUAUAUAUUGCAUACAUAAAUAUUUAUAUUUAUUCAAUAUAAAAAUAUAUUGAUGUAUUUAUUUUUUAAAACGUGUAUGAUUAAAUCAAAAUUAAAGUUUUAACUAUACAUUUAAACCACAAUUAAAAUUUUAAGUCUACAAUUACACAUUAAACCGAAAUUCAUAUAUAAUUCUGAAAUGUAUCUCUAUCAAAAUUUAGGUGUAUACAUAUAAUUAAAUAUAAUUUAAAUUAUUUAAGAGAUAAUGAUAAAGUUUAUAUAUAUAAAAACAAAAUAAAAAAUUUUUAACAGAGCAAAAAAGUGAGAAAAUGACUUUUUGUGGCGUUUUUAUUAAAAAUGUCGCAAAAAAAUAAACAAUAGUGGCGUUUUUUAUAAUUUUUUACACAAAACGGUACGGUGUUGUUACCCAAAAUGCAUUAGACUUUUUCGUUCCCCCUUCCCCCCGAGAUCCCAAAAUUUGACAAGAAAUCUUUCUUUCUUCCCUCCUUUCUUUCCCCAAAAUCGGUUCCCUCCCCCCUCCCCAAAGAAAUCCUAAAAUUUCACUUGAAAUUUCUUCUCUUUUCUUUCCCAUUUUAUUUUUCCCAAACCAUUUCUCCCCUACCCCGAUUCCCUUUAUUUUUUCCCCCAAUUUCCCCAAAUUGGUAACUCCAUGAUGUUCUCUCUCUGAUAUGUUUGCUUAUUGGAUGUAUUGCUCGGACUUUAUAUUGUUGUUUGAAAUAUCUUCACUGAAAUUGGUCAAUUGAACCCCUUAUCCAUGCCCGCCGAUCCCAAGCCCUCCUACGCCUUCAGCUCCCUCCGUGAUCGUAGUAGGGACAUUCUCAGCGUCGUCGUCGCUCUCCUCUUCGGCGUCGGCUGUGGCUCUCUCACUGCCGCCGCCAUUUACUUGGUCUAGAUUAUCUUCACGGCCGUUGCGAGUACCAUGAGGAUGAUGAGUCUGACGAAGAAUUUAGCCCUAAAAAAUGGGGUAUGUCAACAUUCCUGCGAAUCCUGCUGUUAACGUUAAGGAAUCCUGCUGUUAACGUUAAAGAUGAUUAAGGUUGAUGGCUGGAAAAGAAAUCAUCUUGUUUAUUACUCAAAAUUGUUGGUAAGGGUGUAUGAUUUAUAGACUUGUAGAUGUAACUAGAGCUCUACCAUCAAUAGAUAGGAAAAGUUACUGGACAAUUAUACAUUAUUGUUUGAUAUAUUUAUUAUUUUACUUAAUAUUUGACUAUCUUUAUAUAUGGACACUAUUUUAGUUGUAUAAGAACUAAGACUUUAUCCUUUAUAUGUAUCAGCAAGCCAUAAAACAUAAAGAUUUAAGUAACCAUAGGAAGUUACUAUGGAAUAGAAGGCUAGGAUGCAAUGCUCUAUAAUUUGAAAUAAUUUCUCUUCAUCUGGCCUCUUAAAUUUUCAUGGAAUCUCUACACCUAGGAUUCUACUCCUCAAUGAUUGUCUUCUAAAGAUCACCAUUAACAGUGAGCAUGUUUAUGUUUCUAAAAGCAAGUUAUUUUGCAUUUGAAGUAUUUGUUUCAAGCUAAUUUAGGGUUGCCAGUGACGUCUUGGUUUAAUGGCAAGGAGGAGGCUAUGGGACUUUGAGAUCCCUAGUUUGAGUCUCACCAUGUGUGGGCUUAGUGUAUUUUGGAGAUGGACAGAUGUAUUUUGGAGAUGGGAGCCAUACAUGCUGGUGACUUCAUGGUGAGUUCCUCUCUUUGCCAUAUGUUUGGGAGCAUUUCCAUGGUUGAAUAUUGAAUUAUUUAUUUUUUCUUACCAUUUAUGGUUGCUGCUGACUUUAUUUUGUUUAAUUAUUAGAGGCGGUUAAGUUGAUUAACUGCUUGAUUGGGAAAGAAUUAGAAAUGUUUGAGUUAUUAUUCGAAUGGUGAACUAAAGAAAAAGAAGCUGAUAGAGCAGUAACUGACAAUUAUGGUUGAGAUUUUGCAAUAAUUGCAUACUUUUUAAAGAUUAUUAUUAUAAUGGUGACUUAUGAAAUGUUGGUAGUGAGAACCAACACCUUUUGGGAAUAUGGAUGUUUAUAAGUAUCUUGCUAUUUAUUUUCUCGAAAUCAUUAGUCAACUUCAUUGAUAGUUCGGGUAUUCCAUGUUCUUGCCAAUUAGGUAGAUCCUUGCAACCAAAUUGUUCAUUCAAUUCGGUUACUUGUCUUUUGCAUGUUUUGGAAAGUUUAAAGACACUGAAAGGAAAAGAAAUAAAAUAAAAUGAUUCUCCUUUACAUUAUUCCAUGACUUCUCACAGAUGUCAUCUUAUUUUCUCCCAUUGUUUAUCUUUACUGCUUUUUUAACUCUUGGAGCUUGAUAAGAUGAAUGUUUUAUUCACUUAAUAUAUACUUGCUAACAAGUUGCAUAAUUUUCGCAGGCAGAGCCCUAUAUCAAUUGCAGCUGCUGUUAUUUAUAUAAUAACAUAGCUUUCGAAUGAUAAGAAGCCACUUAAAGGUUUGAUAUUAUUUCCUUCUUACUUAUUAACUAAAAUUAAGAUGUUUCAUGUACUCCUUUUAGGUGCUGAGGUUUUAUAUCGAAUAACCCAACAUGGUGUCUAAGCAAUGUUUUUGUGUAUUAAAAUUUUAAAAAAAAGAACGGUGACAUCAAAAAAUUUUGAGCUACUGUUAUGUUUCUCUGAAAAAUGAACAAAUGAAUGCGCAGAUAUUUCUGUUGCUACGGGAGUUGCGGAAGGGACAAUCCGAAAUUCAUAAAAGGAUCUUUAUCCCCAUGUGUCCAAGAUAAUACCAAACUGGUAUGCCAAGGAAGAAGAUAUCAAGAACCUAUGCAGUCCUUGAAUUACAGAACAGACAAUAAUGGAGAUACCACAAACAAAACCCUCAAAGUGCUGAGUUCUCUCUCUCGGGAUCUCGUGGAACUCUCGGUACAUUCUGAUAAUGAUGUUCUAUUUUUUUUUUAUGCGUGUUUGAAGUUUUAGCAAAUAUUUUGAGGCUGUAUCAUUGCUGUUUAUCACCUAUAAUUUAUUCCACUAGGAUUCUUUAUAUCUUUCUUACAUUUGGCAGAUUAGUACGCAUAACACCUGGCGUAGGUAGAUUUGUUGCUAGGAGUUACAGUCCAAGGUGAGAAAAAUCUCUCCACAACUAAGGUUCUUUCUACCGUAAAUUAUUGAUAAUUAUUUACUACUGAUUGCUUGCAGACAGUUGGUCAGCGCGUCACCUGGAAUUCCAUUAUUUGAGAUUUUUGUGGUUAAAGAAGAUGAAGAAAUAUAUCUUAUGCAGGUAAAGUAGUAAUGUGCCUUAAUUUAUUAUUAUUUUUUGUUUGGGGCAAGGGGCAUAAAUUGAUUCUAAAUUAUGACAUCUUCAAAAUUUGGUGAAUUCAGAGUAUUUAAUGAUACCAUGAGUCAUGAGUGCAGUUAAAUGCUGUGUGUGGUUUGUUUGCUUUGUGUGGCUUUUUGCUGAUUGAUAUGAGUUGAAAUACUUUGGCACCAUGCCUUAGUGGCAUCAACUAGUACGACCACGUUUGGAGGGAUCUUGAGUCUUAGAUAUGUGGAACCUCUUCGAGAGAGAUUUGGGUUAAUCCACUUUGACUCUGGAAUUCCAUUAGGUUGGUUAAGUAGCUGCUAGGUUAUCGAUCAUAGUUCAUAACUUCCUUUCUGAUCCAAUCAUAGUAUAGAAGGGUCUACAGAUUGAUAAGAUAAACAGAAAAAUGAAGGCCUUGCUAAUUAGAAUCAGUCUUUUUUUUUUGGGUAAAGUAGAAAAUGAACAAAAAGAAAGAAAGAGAGCAUGUUUUCCUUGGCUAGGAAGAUCUUGGUACAACAGUAGCUCAAGGACCUUUCAGUUAUAGUUCAUGGUUAGAUAUACUGUUCAUAAGUGUUUAUCUAAGUACUUAAUUGGGGCUUCCUUUGUGUGUUUUGCUUGUCAUCUUUUUCACGAACACCAUAUCUGAAUUGCUUUUGGAUAAGUGCUUUGCUGCAUGCUGCUUUCUCUGUUUCGCAUCAUGAAACAGUUCUGGGUGUGUUUGUUCAGUAACUGAGCCUUGCUGCAGUAGGAUAAAUUUUUUGGAUUAUAUAAUUUGGUCCAUGGAAUCUUGAAAUUCUGGAUUAAAUAUUUUGGGUGGUAAAUCUGCCUAAACAUGGAUAUUCUUAGACGUGUAAUGUUAUUCCUGUGUAAGUUUGGAACAUGAUAUUUUCAUUUUAUUUAACUGUAAGUUGGUUUCUGGAUGCAUAUACACAUGUUAUGUAUCUAUUUGCAUGUUAGUCUUCGGCAUCUCUUAACCAGUGUGUGAUGUAUAUCUCCUGUAAAGUGAUCUAAAGUCUUCUAAUACAAUCUGUUGCAGGUAGUUUAUUUGCAGCGUGCUAAAGGAAGUUCUAUGAAUAGUACCACCUCACCUUCCAGGCCUACAAAUACCCCAUCCUAUGACCAUGAAAAGCUACUUACCAGAAAAUUUUUGAUUAAUUCAAUCUAUCUAUUGGACGUUUUCAGUAAACCAUUAAGCAUGCUCUAAUGCUCAUACAGACCAAGGCAUGAACCCUGUUAUUGAAUUCUUUCAUUUUCUUCCCUAGGUUGCAUUAUGAGAAGCAAUGCUAUCUGAUAUAUUGUGUUCAAUAUGAACAAUGUAUGUCAAUGUAUUGAAUUUGGUGUAAGGUUUGCCUGAAUAUCUCUACUAUCUCAUUCAUUUGACUUUAUUUAGAACCUCGUAUUGAGUACGUUAAUUCAUACUUUUGAGACUUCUAAUUGAUGGGAAAACUUUAAAAUACAGGUUGCAUGUUACAAAGGUCAGGGAAGAAUAGAAGAAUUUGUUUUCCGUAACCCGCGAUGGGUCGAUGGCGAACUUCUCCAACUUAAUGGCAAGGUAAUAAAAUAUUCAGAACUUUAUGCUAAUAAUAUGAUGUGACUUGCAACUUAAAAUUAUUUUGUUGAGUUUUCAAAACUAUAUGAAUUGAAGGAAAAUCCCUUGUGGAUGGUCAUAUGCAGGGCAUUGGACCCUAUGUCAAAGGAGCUGAUCUAGGUUUCCUUUACAUUGUGCCCGAGCAAAGUUUCCUUGUGCUACACAACCGUUUAAUAUAUAAAUAUAUUUGUAUAAAGUAGUUUAAUUUUUUUACUAAUUUAAAUAUUUUUUUAUUUUUAUAUUUGUAAAAGAACUUAGUUAUAAAAUAAAAAAUUUUAAAUUUAGUUUGGUUCAGAUGAUUAUAGUUUUCUAACUUACAAACAGUGAAUCAAAUUGAAAUCAAUUUAUUUGAAUAAAUUAAAAUUAAAUUGAAAUAAUGAAUUUUAAUUUUUUUUAUAUUUUUCAUGACCUUUAUAAUAUUUUGUAAUAUUUUUUUUUGAAUUUCAUGACUUUUAGCGGCGUUUGUGGGAAAAGCACCGCUAAAGGUCAUGAUCUUUAGCGGCGUUUGUGGAAAAAGCGCCGCUAAAGGUCAUGAUCUUUAGCGGCGUUUGUGGGAAAAGUGCCGCUAAUGGUCAUGAUCUUUAGCGGCGUUUUUUCAAAUAAAUGCCGCAAACUUUAAUGGCGCCGUCUAUAGAGGCGUUUUUUGCGGCGGCGCCGUUAAUAGUUUUAGUGGCGCUUAGAAGCGCCGCUAAAGACCUUAAAAAACGUCGCUAAAAAUCAAUUUUGCUGCAGUGUAUAUUGUGUACAUUUACAUGUCUGAAUUGAAUAUAGUAUAAGUAAAUUGUGAAUUUGUUAUGAAUAUCAAAAUGAUUAUAUAUCCGACAUGUUUGAGAAAUGUUAAGUCCCGUCUGAACAAAUGAAAAUCGAUGGUUGCAAGUUUCUCGAUUGGUUGUGAUGUAGCAUAUGUUGCAGAAACACCAUAGCUUGAAAGACCAUCUCGUUAUAAGCCCUCUUGAGCUUCCCGUUAUAUGGUUCUUGCGAACUUCACGUUAUGGUUCUUCGGAGUGUCUCGAUAGGUUGUGAUCCUACAUGUGUUGUAGAAACACCUUAGCUUUUAUGAGCUUCUUGAUAUGGGCUUUUCGUGAGCUUCUUGUUAAAUUAGCUCUUUAUGAGCUUCCCGAUAGUGCUCGCUUGAACUUCCCAGUAUAUGGUUAUCUGGAGCUUUCCGAUAGGCUCUUCGUGAGCUUCCCGAUUAAAAGUUCUUUGUGAACUUCCUAAGUAUGGUUCUUAUGAGCUUCCUGUUAUAGCCUGGAUAAGCUUCCCGUUACAUGGCUCACAUGAGUUUCUUGUUAUACGGCUCGAGAGAGUGCUUCCUGUUUAGGUGUUCUCAUGAACACUUCUUAAUGUCAAUUGACGGAUUAUAGAUUCGUACACUUCAUGUGUACUAUCGGAUAUCCAUCGAUAUUUCAUAAGGUUCAACGGUCAAAAUUUCGAUAGAAGUUGAGAUAAUGUCUGAAAUAAAUAAUAAUAUUAACUGCUUGAAAUUACAUAGAAUUGUUUACAUGAUGAGCUCAUCUUUGUUAUUUGAAAAUACUUGGAAAUCAUGACUAACUUGCUUGAUGAGUAUAUGUGUUUAAGCAAAUGGCCAAUUUGCUUUGGAUACAUGUUGUUUGUAUGUUUACUUUAAAUGAACCUGAGUGGUAAGUUAAAUUCCCGUUAUGCGAACUUACUAAGCAUUAAAUGCUUACUUGGUUUUCUUUUCUCUGUUUUAUAGUGCUCGGAAGCUCAUAAAGGUUGGAAAUUGGUCGGAGCAUCAUCACACUAUCCUUCAGAUUGUUUUGGUAUAAAUAACAAACUUUUUUUUGAUAUAAUGGCAUGUAUAGACUAAGUUGGCUAUGUAAAUGGUUGUUUGUAUCUAGCUAUUGGAAUGGCUAGUGAUGACAUAUUUGAUGUAUAUGUAAGAGGAUAUAUCAUGUUUAAUAUAUGCAUAUUUAGUAAGGUUGAAUUGAAUUCUGAUAAAUUUACAUGAUUACACAAUUAGGUAAGUUGGAAUACAUGAACAUAUGUGAUGAAAUGUCAUACAUAAUACUUGUAUUUGACUUGAUUUAAAUGUAUUGAAUUGGUUGGUGAAUAUACUUAAAUAUUGUUGUAGGUGGAAAGCAAAAUGGGUGAGAAAUAUGGCCUAUUUUCGUCCACACGGGCAAAGACAUGGGCAUGUGUCUCAGCCGUGUGCGACACGGCCUUGCACACGGGCAUGUGGUUGGGCGUGUGACACAUGUCAGAGAGUUACACGGGUAUGAACACGUGUUAGGAUAUGGCCGUGUGCCUUACAUCGAAUGCCCACACGGCUUGGAACAUAGGCAUGUCACUCACACGGCCUACCUACACAGGCGUGGGUCCCCUACAUUUAAGAAAAAUUUUGAAAAUUUUAGUUAAAUUUUCUGAGUUCUCGAUUUAGUCUCGACUUGUUUCUAAUACAUAUAUUGGGCCUCGAGGGUCCAUUUAAGGGAAAAUAUGAUUGAAUAUGUUUGGUUUCGAUUAUGAAUAGUAAAUGAAAUGAUUUAACCGUAAUUAUUCUAUAAACUACGGUAAUGCUUUGUAACUUUGUUUCGGUGUCAGAUAUGGGUUAAAUGUGUUACAUAACAGUUCAAAAUAAAAUAUUAUAUUCAUUGAAUAAUUAAAUAAAUAAAAUAAUGAGCCUAAAAUAAUUUUAUAAUUAAAAACGAGCCGAGACUCUAGAUGCCAUGUUCGUGUCCUAACCUGGUGAGUUAUCUGUAAGUAUGAAAAUUUAAGGGGGAGUGAGCUAUAACACUCAGUGGGAGUUCCAUCACAAGAAAAUCAGUGCAAAUUAAUAAACUAAGCAUACAUAAUAACAAUUUUUAGUACGAUAAUAAUCAUAUGAUAUAACGAUAUUUUUGGCAGUUCAACAACCAUACUUAUAUGUGUCGAUGCAAUGCUAUACAAGUUAAGUUUAUCAGUAAAGAUAGGUCCUACCCCACCGCUACACUCCACAGUAAGAGUUUCCCAGAAAUCUUAUAUCUCGGACACUCUAAUUUGUGGAUGAACCACAAGUGUUCCAGGUUAAUAUGCUACCAAUAGUUGUGAAUACACAAUGGGUUUGCAGAUAGAAGUUGCUAGUAAAAGAUGUGGAUAAACCACUAGUAUUUGCAGGUUAAUACGCUGCCAAUGGUUGUGAAUACACGGGUUUGCAGAUAAAAACUACCACUAAUUUGUGGAUAAACCACCAGUGUUUUGUAGUUAAAAUUGCCAGUAUUUCCUCUUUAAAAAGAAUCCUACCCUAUGCAAUAUAGUAUGACAUGUAAGUAUCAAUACAGUACAGAAACAAUAGACAUGUUUGUCCUGGAUUUGGUAUGUCAAUAUAGUAAGCAUGCUAUUCACGCAAUUAGUAAUUUUGCGAUACUAGUAAAAAUAACAAUUAAUCAGUAAUUUAGUCAUAGAAGACAUGUAUUCAUCACAUAUCAUGCACAUAUAGUAAUAAUCUAAUAAAUCAAACAAUUUAUUCCACGUUAUUCAUAAUAUCAGAGACUUAAUUAAAAGAAAUAAAGCACUAAAAACAAUUCAAUGAUCAUGCAUGGAUUAAAUUGAACAAUUUACAAAAAUUUUGGGAAAAAUUGUAAAAUGGGGGCACAUGGCCGUGUGGAGGGGUUACACGGUGGUAUGGUUAGGCCGUGUAAUAGAUUGUGGCUGUGUGGAAUUUACAAAAUCAAGGUACAGGGGAGACACAAUUAUGUGGCAGGCCGUGUGAGAAUUGAAUAUCCUAAGGUUUCAGGGGGACAUGGUCGUGUGAGGGGUCGUAUGGUCCACAUGUGUAUCCCACAUGCCCGUGUGGUUGGCCAUAUGACCUUAUUUCGAGGUAUGAUUUAUCCCAAUUCGCUUGUAAAAUAACACACAUUCCACCGGGAUCUCGAAUGACAUCCCUCACAAUCAAAUUUGGUCUGAUGCACCUGUAACGGGUCCUUCAAACAACAUUUAUACACGGGUUAAUGUUUAUUUUCAAAAUCUAUCAAGAUUACCAGGAAUUUCAGCAAGAUUCGUAGAAUAUUCAUCAAUUAAAAUGAAAGAUUAGCAUCAGAUGCAAAAACUACGAGAAUUUGGGAUUAGUUAUCAGAAUUUAAUUGAACUUGCCAACAAUUCUUAGCAAGGAUUAAGAACAUUCCUAAUGGCGACUAUAAAACCGAUUAAAAAAUGUCUUAAAUCGAGAAUAGAUUUUGAUCCGGGAAGAAAUAAUAAAUUCAGCAAUGGAGAGAAAAUAUCUUGCAAAGAAGAAGCUAAGAAAGAAAAGAGAGAAGAAGUAGGGAAAAAGAAAUAAAAAUUUUCUGUUUGGUUUGGAAAAGGAAACAAGUGUUCAAAUGCAAUUAGGAAAAUGAUUAAAUAUUUAGGGGUUUCAAACUUUUAGGGGGUUGGAUAGCAAUUUAUCCCUGCUUCCGAAAAUAAAAGGAUAAUGAAGGAGAGUGAUUAGGCUUGAUCUUGAGCAUGCAAGGGAAAAGUGUAAAGACUUAAUCAUUGACUUGUUGCCCAUAAUUUGUUAAGUUUUUACUCUAAAUUAUAUAUGUUUUAAUGUGGUUUUCAUCCUAAGUUGCUAAAAAUAAAAGGAAAAAAAAUGAGAGAAGAGUGAAUAGAACCUAAGACCUUUAAAAAGUACACUAAUUACUUAACCAUGAAGCCUAGGUUAAUUUUUGAUUAAUUAUUUCAAUUAAUCUUCUAUAUUUCAAGGCGUGACAGUUAUAACUAAGAAUUAUAAUUAAUUUAUAAAUAUUUUUAAAUAUCAAUUUAAUAAUAUGUUAGAAAAAAAUAUUCUUAUCAGUUCAAAAUUUUUUCAACUCAUAUAUAUAUUAUAGAUGAUUAGAUAUCAAAUUUAAUUAUAAAAACUUAAAAAGUCCAACCCGCUGGCAUACAUGUAAAUUACCAUCAACCUAACGCUUCGUUUGUUUGCCAGUAAAAUAUUUUCCGGAAAAUGAUUUCUGGAAAAUGAUUUACUUUUCUGGAAAUGAUUUAAUUUUCUGGAAAUGAUUUACUUUUCUGGUGUUUGAAUGAAUCUGUGUAAAAUAUUUUCUAUUGUUUGGUAGAUUUCCUAAAAAUAUUUUCCGGAAAAGCUAUUUUUAUAUAUAUUAAUAAAUUUAUAUUUUAAAUUAUUUUUACAUAUAUUGCAAUGAUCAAAUUAAAUAUAUAAUAAUACUCAAUUAUUGCAUUGUUCAUUCUUCAUUCGGAUUUAUUGCAUUGUUGCUCUAGAUUUAGAUAGAGCUUCAUACUUCAUCCGGAUAAAUUGCUCAAAAACUCCAACAAAUGUAACUUUAUAAAGAGGAACAAAAAAUCAGAAAGAAAACCAUUUGUUUGACUAUAUAGAGCUAAUAAUUUAUGCAUGAACUCGAAUGUUGGAUCACAUAAACAACAUUUUGCAAGAGAACAGAAAAGAUACAUGACAAAUGCACUUAAAUGGGGGCAUGCAUACCCAUGUUACGCCAGUGCAUGAAAACUUACCUAAACAAUACCUAGAACAUCAAUAAGCCUGCACCUUGCAGAGGAAACAACAAAGCAAAGAAAGAUUAUAGCACUAUAAUGGAAUUUUCUCCACCAAUGAAGAUGGCUAUUUCAAGCAAACAAAUGGCUCUGAGUUUUAAUUGAUUUGUGCAUUCAUGAAGCUAAAAAGAAGAGCACAUAUGAAUUUCUUGAUGGACAUUUUAUAACUUUCAAUAAUUAGGUGAUCAAAAAGAUAAUUUACUAAUAAUUGAGUGAUAUUUUUUAACUUUGCAUAGUUAAGUUACCAAAAGGGAAAAAACCAUAGUUAAGUGGCCUCUACUAUAAUUUACCCAAAGAUAUAUAAAUACACUUGCAACAAUAUUUCUUAUUUCAAUUUUUGAAAAAUUUAAACUUUUAAUUAAAUUAAUAUUCGAUUAAAGUAACAUUUUUAACUUAAAAAUGUUCUAAUUUUUACCAGCAAUCUUGGCUGUUCUUUCCUAAAAGAAAAAAAAAAGAACAGAAACCUAAGCAAAAAAAUAAGUUACACGUAGUGUUGUUGUAAGUCAAAUUUUACAGGCUAUUCUCUGCCAUUUAUCAUCCACCCCCCAUUAUAAGUAUACAAGCUGUGUACAUUAAUGCAUAGAAGUUAAAACCUCCAAAACAUUAAGUUAUUGUCUCUGCCACAUUAUUACAAGUAUUUGCAUGUCUAGAGCAUAAACUACGGCUGAAAGCUAAUGGUUCUUAGAGCUGUAAGACUGAUUUAAUGAUGAAUAUACACUUCACUGACAAUGGGUUGAGCAUAAAUUCAAUCGCAGAUAAAUUUUAGCUACUUCUUUCAGUAAUCGACUCCUCUCUAGUUUCACUUUAACAUCCAUUUAGAUCCUGCCAUUUGAGGUGAAAAAGCUGGUGGUGUGCCCAGCAAUGUCGAACUUCCCGGGCAUUCACCGUUUAGGUAUCCUUGUCACAUAGGCCAAAGCUCUAAUGCCAUAAAAAAGCCCCAUCAAAACCUCAUACCCAGUUGUGUGAAGUGCCUCAGGCUGGUGCCAGAACAAGAUGAGCUUGUGAAGAAUGGGUGCUAUUCCUGACAUGCCCAUGCCAAAGAAGAGGGAUGCACGAAUGCUGCGAAACUCUGGAUUCUAAAACCCUGGCAAUAAGGAAACUAAGAUCGUUGCGACUCCCAAGAUGGUUAUGAAUCCCAAAUAGAGGUUGCAAAAGAAUGGAUCACACAUGAAGGAGUAAUACACUGGAGGAUAGAAGGAAGUAGAAAUGAGAGCCGCGAUCCCAGCAUAGUCUAGCCUGAGCAUGAUAUAUAAUAGGCGCUCAGAGUGGCAAGAGAGAAGGUGGCAUGUGAUGCUAGCCAGCAAGCAGAACAUUGCACCACCCAAGAAGGCAAAGAAAGGCCACCGUGUUAUCGGCCUCACCAUCAGGGGUGCUAUUAUGUUUGCCAAAUCCUCCUUCACGCUUUGUUGCAAUUAGAAAGAAUAAAAUGUAUUAGCUGCAUGAAACUCCCACAUGCAUAGUGUAACCAUUGGUAUUAAAAGAACAGAUAUCACUACGUCAUAGAAAACCACCGUAAUAAGACAAAGAAACAAAAUACAAAGAAGAAAUCAAAGAAUUAGAAAAAAAAAUCUGUUGUGCGGAAGCGUGUAAAAGAGUAAAAUUAUUGUACUAAAAAAUCACACUAAGUUCAAUUCCCAGGAAAGAGAGGUGGAUCACAAGGAUCGCUUAAGUACCAGGUCUUUCCUAGCCAGAAUAUCCCUCAAUCGUAAUUUAAUAGCAUAAUAAAUCACUACAAUCACACACACAAUUCAUGUAGAAUAAUACAAUAAAGAAUACAAGAAUUUAACGAGGUUCAGCAAAUUUUGCCUACAUCCUCGGGCACUACCAAAUAUAUUUCACUCCAAAAUACAAGUGAGAAUUUACAAAGAGAGAGAGAGAAAACAAUGCCUUAAGUAGAGAAUGGCAAGUUUGAGAUGCAGAAUGAGAGAUGGUUAUGCCUAUUUAUAGUUGAGGUUCAGGGAUCAACUUGCAAAGUCACUUUACAAUUAGGGACCAUAUAUUGCAAAUAUCUCAGAUUUUAUUAUGCCAAUAUCUCGAUACCCAUAUAUUUGACUUUCCAAUAUUUGAUACCCAUAUCUUUGACUUUCCAAUAUUUGAUACCCAUAUCUUUGACUUUCCAUUAUUUGAUACCCAUAUAUUUGAUUUUCCAUAAAUAUGGAUAAUUCCCAAUAAUCUCCACCUUGAAGAUUUGAUUCGAGUAAUCUUAUCAUCACACAAUUCUCUCUGCCUUUGUCAACAACACUUGAUAGUGCCUUCUUCAACUGUUAAACAUGCAGAAUAUUGAUCAAGUUCAAACAAUGUUCGAACUUGAUUGUUGUUACCACCUUGGUCAUCAUAUCUGCGGGAUUAUCUGCAGUCUUAAUCUUCUGAAGGUGAAUUUUCCCCUCAUCAAUAAUUUUCCGCACAAAGUGGAAACGUACAUCGAUAUGCUUUGUACGUGCAUGAUAGACUUGAUUCUUUGCUAAAUGAAUAGCACUUUGACUAUCACAAUACACAUUAAUAUGCUCCUGGACCAAUCCCAAGGUUUUAACCAUACCUUGUAACCAAAUAGCUUCCUUUACAGCCUCUGUUACAGCCAUGUAUUCAGCUUCUGUGGUUGACAACGCAACUGUAGACUGCAGUGUAGACUUCCAACUUAUUGGUCCUCCAGCAAGAGUAAACACAUAACCAGUGGUUGAUAUUCGUUUGUCCAAAUCACCGGCAUAAUCAGAAUCAACGUACCCAACAAGACCUUUACCAAGUGUAGUAUCCUGCUUGAACAGUAAUCCAAUAUCCAUGGUCUUAUGAAUAUACCGUAGAAUCCAUUUCACAGCUUGCCAAUGUCCUUUUCUAGGAUUAUGCAUAUACCUGCUCACUAUACUAACUGCCUGUGAAAUGUCGGGUCUUGUACACACCAUUGCAUAUAUCAAGCUACCCACUGCAUUAGAAUACGGAACUUGCAACAUGUAUUCUCGUUCCGUAUUCGUCGAAGGAGAUAGUUGUGCAGAAAGCUUGAAAUGAGAAGCCAACGGGGUACUUACAGGUUUUGUCUGCUCGUUCAUGCCAAACUGCUGUAGUACCUUUUUCAAAUACUGCUUCUGAGACAAGCUAACUCUAUCAUGAGCUCUAUCUCUCCAUAUUUCCAUGCCGAGAAUCUUUUUAGCUUCUCCUAGAUCUUUCAUCUCAAACUCGAGAUUGAGUUGAGUGUUCAAUCUUUCAAUCUCAACUUUGCUCUUAGAUGCUAUUAGCAUAUCAUCAACAUAUAAGAGCAAGUAUAUGAAAGUUCCUUCUUGUAGCUUCUGAAAAUACACGCAAUGAUCAAAUUUACUUCUUGUGUACCUUUGCCCUUUCAUGAACUGAUCAAAUCGCUUGUACCACUGCCUCGGAGAUUGCUUCAAUCCAUAAAGUGACUUUGUCAGUUUGCAAACCCAAUUUUCUUUUCCAGCAACCUUGAAUCCAUCUGGCUGAGUCAUAUAGAUUUCUUCUUCCAAAUCACCGUGUAAAAACGCGGUCUUCACAUCAAGCUAAACUAGUUCAAGAUCAUAUUGCGCAACCAAGGCUAGCAAAAUCCGAAUAGACGAAUGCUUCACAACUGGAGAAAACACUUCAUUGUAGUCUAUUCCUUCUUUCUGAGCGUAACCCUUUGCUACUAAUCUAGCCUUGUAUCGAAUUUCAUUUUUAUCAGGAAAUCUUUCCUUCCCUGGGGUAGUGUCACCAACUCCCAAGUCCUAUUUUUAUGAAGAGACUGCAUUUCUUCAUUCAUAGCUUGCUUCCACUUUACACUAUCAGAGUUACUUCUUGCUUCUGUGUAAGUAGAAGGAACAUCAUCAUCUGCAAUUGGAAGUGCAUAGGCCACCAUAUCAUCAAAGCGAGCAGGCAUACGAAUCUCUCUUCUUGGCCUUCUAUAUGCAAUUGAAUCAUGUUGUUGUAGAAGUUCUUGGGUCGAAACUUCUUCAUCAUUUGUUCCUUCAAUAUUAGCUGGAUCAUCAUUAACCUUUUCAAGCUCCACCUGCUGCAAAGUGCCACUGGUUGUGUUAUCCUUUUGUGAAUCAUUGUUCUUCAUCAUGGUUGAUUCAUCAAAAGUCACAUCUCUACUGAAAAUUAUUUUUCUUGUAUCAGGACACCAGAGACGGUAUCCUUUUACCCCAUCAGUUAUACCCAAGAAUAAUACUUUCUUUGCUCUUGGGUCUAACUUAGAUUCUUUUACAUGAUAAUAUGCAGUGGAACCAAAUACAUGCAAAGAAUCAUAAUCAGUAGCAGAUUUACCAGUCCACAUCUCCAUAGGAGUUUUUCCAUUUAUUGCAGCUGAUGGCAAACGGUUAAUUAGAUGGCACGCAUAUGUAACUGCCUCAGCCCAAAAUUCUUUGCCAAUCCAGCAUUGGACAACAUACAUCAAACUUUCUCCAGUAUAGUUCGAUUCAUUCGUUCUGCCACCCCAUUUUGCUGUGGUGUAUCCCGAACAGUGAAGUGUCGCACAAUGCCCUCAUCUUGGCAUACUUGUAGAAAUGGAUCGUUUUUAUACUCAGUACCAUUAUCUGAUCGAAGUCGUUUGACCUUUCGACCAGUCUGAGUCUCCACCAUCUUCUUCCAUUUCAGAAAUGCAUCCAAAACUUCACUUUUUCUUUUCAUUAGAUACACCCAUACUUUUCUUGAAUAAUCAUCAACAAAAGUAACAAAAUAGUGCAUACCUCCCAAAGAAGCUACUUUGGUAGGUCCCCACACAUCACUGUGAACGUAGUCCAGAAUUCCUUUCGUAUUGUGAAUUGCUGGACCAAAUUUUACCCUCUUCUACUUGCCCAGAACACAAUGUUCACAGAAUUCCAUUUUGCAAGAAUUUGCACCUUUCAAUAAGCCUUGCUUCACCAAUGUCUGCAAAGCUUUUUCACCAGCAUGUCCCAAUCGCAUAUGCCAUAAUCUGGUAGCCUCUGAAUCUACAUCUUUUGUAGAAACUGUUGAUGUUGAUCCAAUAACUGUACUUCCAUUUAAAAAAUACAAGUUAUUUCUUCUUGUGCCUUUCAUCACCGUCAGUUGCCCAGCUACUACUUUUAGUAAUCCAUCUCUCAAAGUGAUUGUGAGCCCUUUAGAUUCUAGGGCACCUAAUGAGAUGAGAUUUUUCUUCAGGCUAGGUACGUAGCGAACAUCUGUCAAGACUUGGAUUGAGCUGUCGUGAUUCUUCAAUUGGACUGUACCCACUCCCAUUGUCUUACAAGCACUAUCAUUUCCCAUAAGAACAAUUCCACCUUCUAGCUCUUUAAGACUAGAAAACCAGUCCUUAUUAGGACACAUAUGGUAAGUACAUCCUGAAUCCAAAAUCCACUCAUCCGUUUGACAUGCCAUUGCCAUGCCAACCAAGCUAAAGUCUGACUCCUCAUCAUGCUCCGCUACACAUGCAUUAGAAAUAGCCUUGCCCUUUUGUAGCUUAGGACAAUUCUUUUUCCAAUGCCCUUUUUCACGGCAAAAGGCACAUUCAUCUUUGGCGGGUCUCCCUUUGGACUUUCCCCUUCUACCAGAUUUGCUGCUGUGUGAACGACCUCUUACUGUUAAGACUUCUGCGGUUGUAUCUCUGUGAUCUCUUUUAUCUUUCUUUCGAGUCUCAGAUCUAUACAACGUACUACAGACUGCAUCAAAUGUGAUCGUGUCCUUCCCAUGAAGCAAUGUGGUGGUAAGAUGAUCAUAUUCAUCAGGAAGGGAAUUCAACAACAAUAAUGCCUUGUCUUCAUCUUCAAAUUUCUCAUCCAAAUUUAGCAAGUCUGCUAAAAUUUUAUUGAAUGAGUUCACAUGGCCAUUCAUCGACAUACCGAGUGCAUACGUGAAUCGAUAAAGUUUCUUUUUCAUAUAAAGCCUAUUUUCAAGACUUUUUGUUAGAAACUUUUCUUCCAGUGUAUCCCACAACUUCUUCGCUGAUGUCUCCCUCAUGACAGAGUACUUCUGCUCUUUGGCCAAACAUAGGCGAAUUGUUCCACAUGCCUGUCUAUUGAUCUUGGCCCACUCCUUGUCAUCUAUCUUGUCAGGUUUUUCUUCAAGGGCUAUAUCCAACUCUUGCUGACAUAAGACAUUCAGGAUCUCACAUUGCCACAUACCAAAAUUAUUGGUACCAUCAAAUUUCUCUACUUCAAAUUUCGCAUUGGUCACAGUAGUCUUUGACGAUGACUUUUCCAUUUUUUCUCCUCAAUCCCAACUACAGUACGUGAACAAUGCCGUGAACGAUUGUAUUCCCCAAGUACGAAUCUAGCUUUGAUACCAAUUAUUGUGCAGAAGUGUGUAAAAGAGUAAAAUUAUUGUACUAAAAAAUCACACUAAGUUCAAUUCCCAGGAAAGAGAGGUGGAUCACAAGGAUCGCUUAAGUACCAGGUCUUUCCUAGCCAGAAUAUCCCUCAAUCGUAAUUUAAUAGCACAAUAAAUCACUACAAUCACACACACAAUUCAUGCAGAAUAAUACAAUAAAGAACACAAGAAUUUAACGAGGUUCAGCAAAUUUUGCCUACGUCCUCGGGCACUACCAAAUAUAUUUCACUCCAAAAUACAAGUGAGAAUUUACAAAGAGAGAGAGAGAAAACAAUGCCUUAAGUAGAGAAUGGCAAGUUUGAGAUGCAGAAUGAGAGAUGGUUAUGCCUAUUUAUAGUUGAGGUUCAGGGAUCAACUUGCAAAGUCACUUUACAAUUAGGGACCAUAUAUUGCAAAUAUCUCAGAUUUUAUUAUGCCAAUAUCUCGAUACCCAUAUCUUUGACUUUCCAAUAUUUGAGACCCAUAUCUUUGACUUUCCAAUAUUUGAUACCCAUAUCUUUGACUUUCCAUUAUUUGAUACCCAUAUCUUUGAUUUUCCAUAAAUAUGGAUAAUUCCCAAUAAAAUCUGAUUGAUUCUUUUCAUUCACAAAAAACUACUUUUCUGAUAGAGCCUUCUUAACUGCUCAUACCAGUUUUACAACCUCUUUAACCCUGCAACUAACAGUAACUAACAACAUUACUGCUAUCACCACUUAACUUUCCAAAAUUAUUAAGGAUAACAAUUUCCAGGGAGACAAGAUAAGACAUGAAAUGUUCAUGCAUACACAUUUAUCUUAAAAUUGUAUCCACUAUGGAUCCAUAAGGUUAAAACUGGCAGCUGCAAAAAAUGUUACAGGAUUCAAGCAUCGCUACCCUCUCAUUUUUCAGACUCUGAAGUGCACUUCCAGUAAGAUCCUAUUAACAUGAAUAUACUAAAAUAAACUUUUGAACUAUCACAAUCGUGGCAGUUGAUUUCCCAUUGCAAGGACGCUAGCAAAAUAAACUACAUACUUCGUAUUUAGACCUGCUCAUGGGUCGGGUUACUCGGCCCGGCCCGAAGGCCCUCCCGAAAUGUGAGAGGGUUUGGGCAAAAAUAAAGGCCCGAAAAAUGGGCUUGGACAAAAAAAUAAAGCCCAUUUAAAAAACGGGUCAGGCUUCGGGUAAGGUAUUUUUUGCCUGAGCCCGGCCCGGCUUGGCCCGAAUUCACUAAAUGACAAAAAAAAUCUGCUAUUUCUUGUUUUUUAAUGUUAUUUUCUUAUUAAUUUUGUUAUUAUUUUAAAGGCAUUUGUUAAUUUUGUUAUUAUUUUAGAUGUAUUUGCUUGUUAAGUUGCAUCUAUCUUAGUGCUAUUUAAGUCUACAUAUUUUUUAAAAUUUAUUUUCAAUUUGUUGGAAAAUAUUUAUUUUGAUUUUUUAGUAUUUUUGAUGUAUUAUAUAUAUUUAAAAAUUAUAUAAAAUAAUAUAAAAAAUAAUAUGGGCGGGUCGGGUCGGGCUCGGGUUUUAGCAUUUUUAUUUGGGCGGGGUUGGGAAAAAAUUGUAGGCCUAUUUUUUAGGCCCGGCUCGGCCCGAGCCUAAUGAAUGGGCCUAAAUUUUUAGUUGAGCCCAACCUAAACCCGGCCCGACCCGACCCAUGAGCACCUCUAUUCGUAUUUAAAGUUCCACAUAUUGUGUUCAAAACAUUGUAAGUUAAGGGGAAAAAAAUCUACAAGACAGACAUAUACCAUAUAGGAUGUUAUAUGCUUAAAAAAGAUUUCCCUGGAUAACAAUACUAAGCUUUCCAUGGUUUUUGCUUAUAAGAGAAGCAUUUAUUGAACCAUGUCAACACGGUAGAUAUCAACUUUAUAACUUAGCACCUAUGGCUAUAAUCAUAUGCCUUUAAUUGUUUAUAAAGAUUCUUGAGUAAAAAUUUUUAGCAGGAAGUAUACUAACAGAAAGGCCUAUUUGAUGCCCACAGGUCUUUCAGUUCUUCACAUUUAUUGACCCAUAAUACUAAAACUUUAUGGAUAGGUCUUAGGAUUAUAAUUCCUUUCACUGACAACAAUAGGACAGAGGAAAAGAAGUCUUUAUGGAUUCUCUGCCUCAGAAACAAGAUUCAGUGUUGUCAGGGCAUGCGCCUAGGCACACCUGAGCUGUGCGCCUUAACACUAGACAACAGAAGUGCCUCAAACCCUUUCAGGUAAUACCCAUUUAACCAGGCACACACCUUUUUUGCAAGGCAAUAGGAAUAAAAAGCAUCCGCCUCAUAUAAGUUCUCUUUAAUUUAAUUUAAUUUUCACUUUUUUCAUUAGAUAUACCUUUACCAAUAAGAAAGGGUUAGUAUUAAACUCUAUCCUUAUCAAAAUUCGUGUAUUAAACAAUAGACAUGAACCAUAAGUAAAUCAUGUAUAUUGACCAAUAAUAGAAUUGCAUGUUUUGUAGAUAUAGAUCACACUUUAGAGUUUAUUAUAUAUCUUAUGCUAUAUAUAUAGACAUAGAAAAAUGCACAGAUAUACAUAUUGCACUUCAUUUCACUCAAGCUACUACUUUUUUUUUUACACCUUGCACCUGAGGCUACAAGAGUAGCCCCUUCCCCGGUAAGGCAGCAACCCAACUAUUUCUUUCUUGCCUGGAGGCUUUUCUUAUUCUAAAAUUUAUGAUAUUCACUAACCUAUAAAAUCCAGAGUCCUUUAUUACAGAAUAAUUUAAGGCUUUCUUAAUUUCUAUAAUUCACCACCAGAAAUCUAAUUAAUGGGAUAUCAGAAACCCAAAACCUUUCUCUAUUGCUCACAGAGACUUAAACAUGUAUUUCACUAAAUUUGGCUCAAACAUAAACCCAACAUAAAAAUCUAAAAUUAUAUUGCAGCGAAAGAAGCUAUAAUUGACAUACUUGCAUAUUAUCUUUAUAGUGUUCAAGUAUCAAAAUUGAUAUGAAGUACAGGAAACUUCAAAGAAGAUAGAGGCAACCAUUUCCUAACAUUGAUGAAAAAACCACACCAAAACCUUGAAUCGACAGAAUUUACCCAAACCCAGAAAAAGAGCUUUAAAAAGAACAAGAAGAAAAUGUGGACAAGUAAAGAACAAGAAAAAAAAAGCUUUAAAAAACGAUGCCAUUCCUUAAGUCAAGACCUUGCGAAGAGGAAUGAGAUUUGCCUCAGAAAGAGAGAAAGAGAGGAAUGAAAUUUGCAGAAAGAGAGAAAGAGAGAAAGAAGAUGAAGAACGGAAAGAAGGGAGAAGGACUUUUACCAGGAUGAAGAAGAAGAUGGAAAAUGUCUUACAGAAAAAAAAUCCUUAAGGCAUUUUCCCUAAAAUGAAUGAGAUUUUACCCGUGUCUUGGAAAAUAAUUUCCAAAACAGAGCCUAAAUGAAACUUUAGUUACCAAAUCAUACCAGUUAAAAAAUUAGAGUAAAUUAUAUUAUUAAUUACUUAAUUAUAGUACAAUUAUUUUCUAGUUACUCAAUUAUGAAAAGUUACAAAAUAAUCAUCUAAUUAUUCAUUUUUUUAUUUUUUGUCACCGGCUGGCUAACGUGUAAAAAGAAAAACCCAAAAAUCAAAUAUAGUUGAGUAGCCAAAGAAAAAAAUUACUAAUAAUUAGGUGACUAGUACUAUAGUUUACCCUAAAAUUUAAAGGUAAAACUUUUCAAAUGAAUGCAUUUUAUAAUAAUUAAUAAAAUAAGAGUUAUAUUAAGUACUGAAAAGUUACUCAACUAUCUUAGAUUUUUGUUAUUUUUAUUUUAUUUUUUACUCUAGUUAUUAAAAAAGAUAAAAUUAAAUAAUUGGAUAACCAUAUUGUAACCUUUCAUACUUGGAUGACCAAAAAAGAAACCUAACAAUAAUUGAGUGAUUGAAUUUUUUUUUACUAAUAAUUAUGUGACUAAUAAUAUAAUUUACCUAUAAAUUUAAAGGUAAAACUUUCCUUAUGAAUGCAUUUUAUAAUAAUAAAUAAAAGAAGAGUUAUAUAUAAAAUUGAAAAGUUGUAACAAAUUGGGGUGAUAAUAUAUCCGUGAAGCACUCCCCACCAUGCUAAUACCACCAAGCUAAUAAUAAACUAAAAAUAACCAUUAAUUUGCUAAGAAAAUGGUUACUUUGGUAGUAUAAAUAGGGCAUUUCAAUGAUGUAUUAUUCAAGCCAAGGGGCAAUAAGUAAUAAGCAAUAAGCAGCCCCACAACUUCAAAAGGUUUUUUUUUUUCUUUUCCUAUCUCUGUUUAAAAUCUAUUUCAAGGGAAAGGAGGAGGAAAAUUUUAUAAUUUUUUGAGGGUUUUUUAAGAAUAAAUAGAAAACUAUGGCGAACAAUGCUGCUGUUAUUGGUAUCUGUUCAGUGUUCUUGGUGGCAGCAGUGGUGGCAACAGUGGUGGGUGUCACGCAUUUAAAAAACAACGGUGAUUCGAAAAGCGGUGAAAUAUCGAGUUCGACAAAAGCAGUGCAGACGGUUUGUCAACCCACACAGUUCAAAGAGGUAUGCGAGAAGAGCCUGGAGUCAUCUAAUUCCACCGACCCUAAAGAGCUGAUAAGGACGAGUUUCCAAGCAGCGAUAGAGGAAAUAAGGAAAGUGUUGGCGAAUUCAGCGACGAUACAAGACUUGAAUAAAGAUGACAACAACAAAGCAGCCCUUAAGGUUUGUAAAGAAGUGUUGGAUUUAUCAAUAGCUGACCUGCAACUUUCAUUUGAUAAGCUGGGGGGAUACGAGAUGAGUAAGAUCGGUGACUACAUACUGAACCUGAGGGUGUGGUUAAGCGGUGCCUUAACUACCUUACAAACAUGUGUAGACUCAUAUGCGGAAGUAAAUAAUGAACAAGCGGAGAAGAUGAAUUCAAUUUUGAAGACUUCAAUGGAGCUUACCCAAAAUUCUUUAACCAUGGUGACUAAGUUAUCCACCAUCUUGAAUGGCCUUAAAAUUCCAGGCCUCAAUAUCGACACGACUGGGUUCGAACGUAAGCUCCUGUCUAACGAUGGACCUGAGUGGAUAGGCCACGCUGAAAGGAGACUACUUCAAGCAAAACCAACAGAUUUGAAGCCUAACGUUGUGGUUGCUAAGGAUGGUAGUGGAAAAUAUG
RNAcentral lists this long non-coding RNA (45563 nucleotides) under Gossypium barbadense (sea-island cotton). RNAcentral's name for it is "long non-coding RNA (GBAR_LNC008639)". The record is from RNAcentral. Lineage: Eukaryota; Viridiplantae; Streptophyta; Magnoliopsida; Malvales; Malvaceae.